GUGCUCUUCACUCUGCCGGGGAGUAUACGUACAGGCCGUACUCCAGAGAAUUCGGCGGUGUUGACGUCACGCUGACGGCCGGCCAAGGUGGGCGAAGCGUCGCGUCACGGCCGCGGGCCCCGUCCAGGAGGUCGUCGCACGCACGCGUGCCCGCGGAAAUUAAAGCAGCAGCGCACUCACUCACGCGCACGCGUGCUACACGUACGCACGGCAGGGGCCAUCGCACACCUGCCGCUGACUCCUCUGCGUGCGCCAAUACAUAAGGCCUUGUUUAGUUCACUCUGAAAACCAAAAAAUUUUCAAGAUUCUCCAUCACAUCGAAUCUUUCGACACAUGCAUGAAACAUUAAAUAUAGACGAAAAUAAAAAAUAAUUGCACAGUUUACCUGUAAAUCACGAGACGGAUCUUUUGAUCCUAGUUAGUCCAUAAUUAGACAAUAUUUACCACAAACAAACGAAAAUGCUACAAUAUCGAAAUCCGAAAACUUUUCGGAACUAAACAAGGCCUAAGAUGAACCCUGGCUGACACGUCCACACGAUCGAACAAAGCUGUGACAGAGCUCGUCGUAGAUUUUUAGGCUAUAUAGCUGCAAACGGUGAGUUGCUACCAGCUACUAUACUAGACAACACAAUUAUAAACAAACUAGUUAUAUCACAUGAAAAUCUCACUAGAGAACUUUUUUUUUUAAAAAAAUAUAUCCAAUUGCCGGCUUUGAUUAAUAUAAUAAGAAAGGGAGCAAAACCUCAUAUGUUACAAGCACGAGCAAAACUCCCAGCAUGGCCUAGGCUGUAGGGGGGGGGGGGGAGGGGGGGCUCCUGAUGAUCAUUGGAACUUGGCCCUUGUUUGUUAGAUGCUGCACUCGAUCUGUUUUAUUAUUAGUUUUCCUCAAUUUUUACUAGCAAUGUUCUUUAUGUAGUUACAUAGUUAAGUAAAGCAAAAGAUUGUUCUUCAUUAGCACAAAUCUUUACUGUAAAAAAAACGGAUGGUUCAAUGCAAUGAAAUUAGAAAUAAACGUGCCCCUUAUAUGCUUAAAGGCACUGUGCUAGCUCGACUGUUGUGUUUUCGACGACCACGUGUUUUAUCUAAGAGCUUAUUUGAACGCACUCAUAUUCAUUUAAUCCUUGUGUUUCAAAGUGGAUUGAGGUAGGUAUUGGUUGAUUUUUCAGGCCUUGUUUAGUUUCCAAAAAAAUUUGUAAAAAAGUUCAGAUUCCACGUCACAUCGAAUCUUAUGGCGCAUGCUUGAAGCAUUAAAUAUAGAUAAAAAAUAAUAGUUAAUUGCAUAGUUUAUGUAAUAUGCGAGAUGAAUUUUUUGAGCCUAGUUAGUCGAUUAAACAAUAUUUGUUAAAUACAAACGAAAGUGUUAUAGUGUCCAUUUUAUAAAAUUUUUUGAAACUAAACAAGACCUCACUCUAAUUCACUUUAAUACAUAUGGAUUAAGGUGAAUACGAGUGCAGCUACAUGAGGUCAUCUAGUUGAGUCGUUGUUGGUGUUAACAUCAUAUUACUCUAGCUAGCUAGGGCAUGCAGUGUUGAUUGUUAGUAGAAGCCAAGGCCUUGUUUACUUGGGAAUUUUUUUGCAAAAUUGCUACAGUAACUCUUUUGUUUGUAUGUGACAAAUAUUAUCAAACAUAGACUAACUAGGCUCAAAAGAUUUGUCUCGUAACUUUCGACCAAACUGUACAAUUAGUUUUUAUUUUCAUCUAUAUUUAAUACUCCAUGCAUGUGUCUAAAGAUUCGAUGUGACGGAAAAUCUUGAAAAAUUUUGCGUUUUGGGUUGGAAGUAAACAAGGCCCAAGCAUGUUUGGCAUCAAAACGUGCAGUCCUCAUCUGUAGGUCCAUCAGUGUUGACACGGUGCAGUGCAAUCAUAUCUAGUACUAGCUAGAGUGUUAGGCCAUGUUUAGUUCACCCCGAAAUCCAAAAAGUUGUCAAGAUUCUCUGUCACAUCGAAUCUUGCGGCACAUGCAUGAAGCAUUAAAUAUAGACGAAAACAAAAACUAAUCAUACAAUUUGACUGUAAAUCACGAGACGAAUCUUUUGACUCUAGUUAGUCUAUGAUUGGACAAUAUUUACCACAAACAAACGAAAGUGCUACAGUUGCGAAAACUUUUCAGUUUUCGGAACUAAACAAGGCCUUAGCAGGGCUGUGACUUGGCUGGUCAUUAUUGUCCCGUGGACUAUCAACAUUGGUCAGCACGCGUAUCCAACUUUUGGAUUCAUCACCUUUUGCUUCCGCUUCUUCUGUGUUUCAUUUCAUCAUGACACCUCUGCUCAGCUCGAUGGAUUGAAAUCGGAUGGAAGAAACGUUGACUUUGCUGAUUCCUUUUUGGACUCUACUAGUAGUGCUAUCAAUCCCGUGGGAGUAGUAGUGAAGUCAACGCUUGGUGAGAAGUCAACUUCUCGAAGUUUCUUGUAGUAAGAGCAUGGCACGUGGAGGGUAAGGAAAUCAGUCGUUUGCAGUCGUCUUCAGAUAUUUUUCUUGUUCGUCAAAUGUGACGGCAAAAGGAAGGAAUCCCAAUUGCAAUCUUCUCUAGAUCCAUUUUUUCUUUUGUUCCUUGCAUGUGGAGGCACGGAUGGGGAGAGGUCUCUAGUUAAAACUAGUGGCAGGUGCGCGCCUUCGCGCGCAUAUAUGGCCGUGUCGACGAAAGCUAGUCGGCAGUCUACCUUGGGGUAUACCCACGGUAGUAGUUUAUCGGUAGACGGUGCGCAAACUACGAACUCGAUGGUGACGCAAGACACGGACAAGCUUUUUAUCCAGGUUCGGCCGCCGAGUUGGCGUAAUACCUACGUCCUGCGUCUGGUUGUAUUGAUUUGUGUUGAGAGAAUAUCUUGUCCUAGGGGGGUCCCUUGCCCCUCCUUAUAUAGUCUGGAGGGCAGGGUUACAGAUCUAGAAACUAAUCCUAGUCGGUUACAAUUGCCAUGGAUAAUUCGAUAUCAAUUCCUAUUCUAACCGACUAGAGUCCUGCUUGAUCUCCACAUCUUGUUUCCUUGCGCAGAACUCCAAGCUGUCGAAUCAAGCCUUGAACUCGUCUCGUAAUGGGCCAAACCUCCUGGCCCAAGUCUAGCCGCAAGGGUAUAGGGGUUUAUACCCCCACAGCUAGUCCCCGAGCGCCAUGUAUUGUGAUGCAACACGCCAUCUUGAGCUUCUUCGAUCAGCGAGGCUUGUCGUCUUCAAUAAGCGGGAAAAUCGCCCAAACAGUUGCAACGGUUCCUUGACCAACUCGAAAGACAGUUGAUCAACAUUGACAUCGAAGAAGCAGGUUGUUCGAAGAAUGCAUGGUGCUCUAAAAAAAUUUCUUUCCUGGUGAAGUGUGCCCACUUUACCUUUUUGAAAGGUAGAAGCAUCAAAAAAGCAAGCAAAUUCACCGCUAGGUGAAGUGUGCCCACUUAGUCCCCGAGCCUGGUAGUAGGUGGCGUAGACACGUGGUGCCAGGGUCAAAAGAAAAUUCCCCAAAGUAGUUUUGAGUCUGAGAUGCAUCGCUAGAUGCAUCGUACCGAUGUAGUCCCCCGAGCUUGCUAGAAGGCGAAGUAUGAACCUUGUAGCAAGGUCUAAAAAAUUGAAUUUACCAGUCCCCGAGCAUAUCAUGCUCGUCUGCAAUUGAAAAGACCAAUCGACCAGUCCCCAAGCACUUAGUGUGCUUCUUGGAAUUAUACUGUACGACCAGUCCCCGAGCGUCGAGUUCUCAGUGGUCGGUGCAUGCUUUAAAACUUUGAGCUGAUAGACUGAGCGACCAGUCCCCGAGCGUCGAGUGCUCGGUGGUCGGUGCAGUCCUUGAAGGUCUGAGCUGAUAGACUGGGCGACCAGUCCACGAGCGUCGAGUGCUCGGUGGUCGGUGCAGUUCUUGAAGUUCCGAGCUGAUAGACCGGGCGACCAGUCACCGAGCGUCGAGUGCUCGGUGGUCGGUGCAGUUCUAAAAGUUCCGAGCUGAUAGACUGGGCGACCAGUCCCCGAGCGUCGAGUGCUCGGUGGUCGAUGCAGUCCUUGAAGUUCCGAGCUGAUAGACUGGGCGACCAGUCCCCGAGCGUCGAGUCCUCGGUGGUCGGUGCAGUCCCCGGAGUUCCGAGCUGAUAGACUGGGCGACCAGUCCCCGAGCGUCGAGUCCUCGGUGGUCGGUGCAGUCCCCGGAUUGCUGACUCACUGGCAUAUGUGUCUUCUUACUUUUGAAAAGAUCUUUCCAAUUAAAGUUGACGUGACGGGGUCUCCUGACGAUAUGUCAGACGGAUGCAUGAAAAGUUGCACCUGGCAACUGUACAACCGCUCUUUGCAUGGUUUGAGAAAAGGAAACCAUUAAUUGGUACGAAAACUCCGCCACAUUAAUUGUCUAUAAUCAUUGUAAACCGAAACGCCGCGUCCGCCGCAUGGCCUGCCCACUUCCCGAGAAUACAGGAAGUGGGAGAGGUGGGGUCGCAGGUUUGUAAGGGCCUAAUAGGUCUGCCUGUACUGCUUCGCCUGCCAUUGCCUUCAAACCUUCCGCUCUCAUCUUCUCCAAUCUCCUGCAUCUUCCUAACUCCAGCCCACAUUCGCACCUCUAAUGGCGAAGAGCGACUCCAGGAAGAGGGCCGAACUGAUGGCCAAGGAGUGGAAGAAGUCCCGCAGCACCACAAAAUCUCUUGGUGACCUCGUCGAUAUGGGGCUUCUGCACGGCGCAGAGCUCGGCGGCUGGAGGGCACCGGAGGGGGAGAGCUACCCCGACCCUCGCGCCGGUGAGAUCGUCGUUUUUGAAGAUUUCGUUAAGAGAGGCUUUGGUGUUCCUGUUCAUCCUUUUCUCCAAGGUCUUCUUUUGUACUAUGAGAUCGGGAUUUGCAAUCUGCACCCGAACUCAAUUCUCCUUAUUUCCACCUUCAUCCACCUGUGCGAGGCCUAUGUUGGCAUAGAGCCGCACUUUGAUCUUUUCCGGUAUCUUUUCUGCUUGAGGAAGAAGGGAGCAGUUGGAGGCUCCAAGGUUGCAGGUGGAGUAUACCUCAACCUUCGUGAUGGGAUGAAGAAUCGCUACCUGCACUGCCCAUGGAACACUUCCUUGACCGAAUGGUACAGGAAGUGGUUCUACAUCAGGGAGGAACCGGGCAGCUCCACGUUCUGUGACGUGGGAUACAUUCCCGAGAAGAGGACGAGCUGGACCGACCGACCGGAGUUCGACGGUCCAGUGGCGGAUCUCAUGAAGCUGAUCGACUGGUCGCGCCUGGACGGGCUUGGCAUGGUCGGCAACUUCAUUUGCCGCCGGGUGAUGCCCUGCCAGAAGAGGGUACACUCGGCGUACGAGUAUGCCGGAAGCGCAGCGCAGACCCGACCAGGAUGCGGUCGGAGAUCUUGGACUAAGCGGAGGUACAACAGCUGUUGAACGAGCUGUUUAACUUCGCGGAUGGGGGCUUCAUCCGUGGCAGUGAUCGGGUGCAAGCCUUCAAGUUAGGACGACCAGCACCAAAGGUAUGUAGCAGAUUCGAGUUUGAUUAUUCGUAUAUCGUCUGCAGUUGACUCAUUUCUGUUGCUUUUGCAGGUCGGUGAUGUCGACCGGUGCGCAGUGUAUGUAUCACUGGCACCGGGGAUGGAAAAUCCGGUGGGAGAGGUCCCGCCAGAGGAGGACGCUGCUCGGUGUACUCAUUACACCAGUAGUGAGGAAGACCGAGCCCGCCCCGUCCCGACCUCCGAGGAGAGGGUAGCAGGGAAAAGGCCAUUGCCGGCAGAUCCCUUGUCGACACCGGAGCUGCCGGCAGAUCUCCCGGCGGAGAGCAGCCAAGCACCGAAGCGUCGUCGGCUCGUGCGGAUCGUCGAUGACGACGACGACGAGGAGGCAGCGCCGUCGUUGGUCCGACGGCCUCGGAGCCGCCCAGACACUGCGCCGGUCGCCACUGAUCGAGUGGCCAGCGGCGCCGCUGCCCCGCAAGUUGCCGAGACGGGGGCACAGGUGCCGACCGGCCGGGCGAGGAGGAGGUUCACCGCGACCCACCGUCGGUCAGACCUGUAAGUGUUCGACUUACGUAUUUUGGACUCAUCUUUUUUUUUGUUUUUUUUUUAACUUUUGUUCCUGUAGUGCGGCAUCGGAUGUCGACCCUGGCCAAACUGCCAGCCAGGGAACAGGCGAGCCUGCCCGCGGUUCUGGGGAUGCGGCCCCCCAGACCACAGAGCAGCCCACAGCUGCGGUCGCGCCUGGGAGCACCGAGGGACUCCCAAGCGCGGCGCCGACUACAACAAGCAGCCCGACCAGGGCUGGAGAAGCUCCCCCAACUGACUCCUCGGAGAAGGGAAGAUCUCCGACCGCUCCUCCUGCCGGGGGGAGUGAAGUCCCCCCGCCGCCCCGAGCAGGAGCCUCUUCGGCUGCGGGCUCCCCCGGUCUGGUCCAAGGGCCAGUAAUGCCUGGGACCACCACCGGGGGUGACACAGCACAGGAGGAGGAGACCCGGGCGGCCUCCGAUGACGAGGUGGAAGAGAUCGAGGGUCGUCCCCGUGAUGGCCGCCAACACGUGUAUGUGUGGCGCCAACGCGGGGACCACUUUAUCGGUCAUGAGGAGCUCGCCGAGACCGAAGAGGCCGCCAGGGUGGAGCGCGCGGCCAAGCGCCUUGUCGACGAAGUCAAGGUAAGCGGCUCUUUGUAGUGCUGCGCAUUCUUUUGCCUUGUCUUGCAUGGUCGUUAUAUGCUUGCUUUGUAGGACGUAAUGAAAACGGCGAAGUACCGGAAACGGUGCUUUGACCAGAUAGAAGGCGUCAUGGCCGAGAACAAGGCCCUUGCCGCGGAGGUAGACCGGUUGCGCGCGGAGGUCGGGGAGAAGGUGGUCGAGAUGAGUGCCGAAAAGGAGCGUCGUCUCGACCUCGCUCGUCGUCUGGCCGACCAGUACCGGCUGCAGGAAGGUUAGUCACACGCUCCGAGCAGCUUCGCGUACUUGUAUAGUUUGGUUUGCUGACCAGUUUAGGAUUCACGCAGACUUGGAGGAGGAGGUGGCGAGCCUCCAACAAGAGAAGGAGCAGCUCAGCCAACAGCUCGCCGGUGCGCUGGAGUCCGGGCGGCGAGCAGAAGAGGAAUUGGGUCGAAAAGGCCGGGAGCUAUCUGGUAAUGAGUGCCACCUUGUUGGUUGCUGCCUGCCCCUUUAUUUGUCUGGUAUGCCGAAAGUAACGUUUCGCUUUGUUUGCAGUGCUCAAGGUGAACACCAAAAAGCACCUGGAUGAGCUGAUCAAGGACCGGGACUCCUGGAAGGUCAACUGUUGCAGGAUCUGGAAAGGAGUGUCCCCGGUCCUAGACCUGAUCAGUCCUGAGCUCCCGGAGAGCCAGCCCCGCGCGCCGCAGUUGACCCCGGUCGAGAAGGCGCAACGGGCGUGGGACUGGCUCCAGCAGUUUGUGAAGGACGCCGGGGAGUUUGCCGGCGCGCACGUCCUCAGUAUGGUGCGCGCCCACUACCCCCUGGUCGACUUGAGCAGGCUGGAGAAGGGGUAUCCGAAGGAAGUCGGCCCACAGGAAGCGGACGAACUUCGGGGUAAUCUGCUGGACUUGUCGUCGACAGUGAUCGGCGACAUCAAUCUGUGCGGAACGGCCACUCCUCCAGACCAGCCGAGCUCAGAUAGGUCGGCCAGGGAGUUGUCGGGCGCGUCCGUUGCGGGAGAUGGGCGGUCGACGCCUGCGGUCUCGACCAGCCAGGCGCCGGUGGCCCCGACCCCUUCGUCCGGGCAGCAGGGCCAGGCGGGUGAUCAGCCCGAGCAGCCAGGCCAAUAAAGUAGUCUGUAGGAAUAGACUAGUGUUUGCCCGUCAGGGUAUUUAUUGUAAACUUUGUAUGUAUAAAGUUUGUAAUAAAGUUUGCUUUUUGUCAUGACUGUUGUUUUGAGCGCUGUAAGAAUAUCUGAGUGACGUGUCACCGUAUUUGUCUUGGUUGUCGCUAAGAGCGUCCGUUGCAGGAGUGUUGCCGAGUGCUGCGUGUGACAAGGUAUGGGCCAAAAAUAGAGAAUUUAAUUAUCAAAAAUUAUGAGAUACUUACAGAAGAAAAUCAUUAAAACUUUAUGGAUAGAAACGUCGCAGUUUAUCGAUGUGCCAAGAGUUAGGCACUCGUGUUCCGUCUGGAUAUGCCAAUCUGUAGGACGUAGGUCGUGUGACCUCGGUCACCACGAAGGGUCCUUCCCAGGGAGUGGAUAGCUUGUGCAUUCCCUCCUGGCUUGUCUUCCAUCGAAGCACCAGAUCGCCGACCACGAAAGAACGGUCCUUGACAUUCCUGUUGUAGUAUCGCCUGACUGCUGCGAGAUAUUUUGCUGUUCGGAGACACGACACUAAACGCUUUUCCUCCAUGCAAUUGAUUUCGAGUCCUCUGGCGUUGUCGGCGGUCGCCUGGUCGAAGUGCUCGAUUCUAGGAGAUUCGAAGUGUAUGUCGGACGGCAAGACCGCCUCUGCACCGUACACCAUGUAGUAGGGAGACACCCCUGUGUUUCGACUGGUCUGAGUUCGGAGGCCCCAGACCACAGCCGGCAAUUCUUUCAUCCAUCGACCGGGUGCUCUGUCGUUUUCGGUGUACAGCCUUUUCUUUAGGGCGUCAACGAUCAUUCCGUUAGCACGUUCAACUUGACCGUUGGCACGUGGAUGUGCCACUGACACAUAUUUUAUGAUUAUGCCUCUGUCAUCGCAGAAAUCCCAAAAAGUGGUGCCAGUAAACUGAGUGCCCAGGUCGGUGAUUAUGCUGUUCGGAAUGCCGAAUCUGUGUAUGAUUUGAUUGAGGAACUCCACAGCCUUCUCGGAGGUUGCCUUGACCAGGGGCAUGUAUUCAAUCCACUUGGAGAACUUGUCGAUUAACACGAAGACAAACUUGAAAUUGCCCGGGGCUGGUUUAAAUGGUCCGAUCAUGUCGAGCCCCCAGCAAGCAAAGGGCCAAGACGACGGGAUGGUUUGAAUUUCAUGGGCAGGUACGUGGGUCCUCUUAGCGAAAAACUGACAUCCUUCGCAAUGCCGAACCAGUUUUUCUGCGUCGCUGACCGCGGUUGGCCAAUAAAAACCUGCUCGGAAAGCCUUUUCGACCAGCGUUCUAGAUGCGGCGUGGUUGCCGCAGGAUCCGGCGUGUAUGUCUUCCAAGAGCUUGAUACCAUCAUCUUGGGGUAUGCACUUGAGCAGUACUUCGGAGCUUGCGUUUUUCCGCAUGAGUUUUCCGUCGACCAGGAUGUAGUUCUUUGAUCGUCGGAUGAGACGCUCGUUCUCUGUUUUGUCCUGAAAGCCAGUCCCGUCUGAUAUGUAUUUGAUGAACGGGGUACGCCAGUCACGCCCACCGUUUGUCGGAGUGGCGUCAUCUAUGAGCAUUGCCUCGGUGGGUUGUUUGUCGACCAGGGGGGAGCCUACGCUCGGCUCAUGGAUGUCCUGGACGAAAAUACCCCGCGGGAUUUGGGCCCGAGAUGAGCCUAACUUUGACAACGCAUCUGCUGCUUGGUUCUUAUCCCGGACCACAUGGAUGUACUCUAUGCCAUAGAAGUUAGUUUCCCAUUUGCGAAUUUCUUUGCAGUAGAGAUCCAUCUUCUCGUGGGUUGCGUCCCACUCCUUGUUGAGCUGGUUGAUGACCAAAGCGGAGUCGCCGUAGACAUAGAGGCGCUUGACCCCCAGUUCAACGGCUAGUCGUACGCCAUGUAAGCAUGCUUCGUAUUCGGCGACAUUGUUUGACGCCGGAAAAAGGAUCCGAAGGACGUAGCGGAGUUUGUCCUUGUUUGGUGAUACGAACAAUAUCCCAGCGCCUGCACCGUUGAUGUUCAAGGACCCAUCAAAGAACAUUGACCAGUGGUCUGAGACAUCUGGAACGGAAGGCUCGUUGAGAUCCGUCCAUUCAGCAAUGAAGUCGACCAGGGCUUGAGACUUGACAGUGGUGCGACUCUGGAACUCUAGGGAAAAUGGACAUAAUUCCAUUGCCCAUUUCACGAUUCUGCCAUUGGCGUCUUUAUUGCGCAGGAUGUCCCCGAGAGGAAAGCUGGUUGUCACCAGGACUCGAUGGCCGUCGAAGUAGUGCUUCAGCUUUCUUGACGUUAUCAGGAUGGCGUAUAUAAGCUUCUGUAUUUGUGGGUACCUGGCCUUGGAUUCGUUUAAAACUUCACUUAUGAAGUAAACGGGUCUCUGGACCUUGAAGACGUGACCUGGUUCAUCUCGCUCGACCACUAUUGCCGUGGAGACAACCCUGUCGGUUGCAGCAAUGUAAAGGAGUAGGUCUUCAUUAGGCUGAGGCGCUGUGAGGACAGGCGGUGAAGUGAGGAAGGUCUUAAGCUGAGUGAACGCAGCGUCGGCUUCUUCUGUCCAAGAGAAUUUUUCUGACGCUUUCAGUAGUUUGAAGAAAGGGAGGCCUUUUUCUCCCAGCCUUGAGAUGAAACGACUGAGGGCGGCCAUGCAUCCGGUUAGCUUCUGAAUAUCCUUGACGUUCUUCGGUGGUCGCAUGUCGAGUACGGCUUUGACUUUUAAAGGGUUUGGUCGUAUGCCGUCGCAACUGACGACGUUGCCGAGCAGCAGACCGGAAGGAACGCCGAAAAUGCAUUUCUUGGGGUUGAGCUUCCACUUGUACCUAUUGAGUGCCUUGAAGGUUCGGUCUAAGUUGUCGAUUAGGGUGCUCACGUCCCUUGUUUUUACGACCACGUCGUCCACAUAGGCUUCGACGAGGUCAUCGCGAAUCUCGUCGUGGAGGCAUUGCUGGAUGGCCCUUUGAUAAGUGGCCCCGGCAUUUUUAAGUCCGAAAGACAUGGUAGUGUAGCAGUAUGCGCCGAAGGGUGUGAUGAAGGAUGUUUUGAUCUGAUCUUCUUCCUUUAACGAGAUCUGGUGAUAACCAGAGUAGCAAUCUAGAAAGGAGAGGAGUUCGCAUCCGGCCGUUGAGUCGACCACCUCGUCGAUGCGAGGAAGACCAAAAGGAUCUUUAGGACAGUGUUUGUUGAUAUCGGUGUAAUCAACGCACAUUCUCCAUUCAUUAUUCUUUUUGCGUACAAGGACCGGAUUGGCGAGCCAAUCGGGAUGAUACACUUCUUUUAUGAAUCCGGCUGCUAGAAGCCGUGUUAUUUCUGUCCUAAUAGCCUCCUUUUUGUCACGAGCGAACCGUCGCAGUUUUUGCUUGAUUGGUCUUGCGGUCUUCGAGACGUUUAAGGAGUGCUCGAUCAGGUUUCGUGGGACACCGGGCAUGUCUGCGGGUUUCCAUGCAAAAACGCUCACGUUGUCCCUUAGAAACCUGACGAGCGCGUCUUCCUAUUUUGGAUCCAGGUUAGCCCCGAUGAGGGCUGUCUUCUCGGGGUUGCCUUCGACCAGCUGCACUUCUUUGUACUCCUUGGAUUUCGAAUUCUUUCUGGCUGUCUCCUGCUCAGGUAAUCGGAGCUGGUCGGGGGGCAGCUGUGCGGCUUGGUUUGCUGUUUCCGCCAUGCGGAUUGAGAGGUCAAUUGCCUCGGUGAUCUUGAAGCUUUCUUCUUCGCAGGUGUACGCAGUGUAGACGUUGCCUCUGAUGGUUAGGACACCCUUCUCCGUGGGCAUCUUAAGCACUAGGUAUGAGUAGUGCGGGACUGCCAUGAACUUUGUCAGCGAUGGGCGGCCCAGUAUGGCGUGGUAGGUCCCGUCGAAGUCCGCGACUACGAAGUUGAUGAACUCCGUGCGGAAGUGAUCGGGUGUGCCGAAUUGGACAGGCAAUGUUAUCUGUCCGAGGGGCACCGAACUUUGACCUGGCAAAACACCCCAGAAUUGGGCGUCGUAAGGUUUUAGUUGCGCCGGUGAUAUCUUGAGGGCGGGCAGGCUGUUGCGGAAGAGGAUGUCGAUGGAGCUUCCCCCGUCCACGAGCACGCGCUCGAAUCUGAUGCUAUUGAUGCAGGGAUCAAGAAUCAGUGGGAAACGACCCGGCUCUGGGAUAGCGGCCCACUGGUCCUUCCUGCUGAACGAGAUCUCCCUGUGGGACCACGCGGGAAAUUUCGGAUCUGCGAUCAGCCCGUCCGUGCUGUCUAUGUUGAGGCAGGCUCUCUUUAACAGCUUUCUUUCUCGCUUGGACUCAGUGGAGACCUUGCCCCCGAAAAUGGAGUGCACCACGUCGGUGGGGCUGACGUAUUGGUGUCGGGGGUCCCUGUCUUGGUCCUCAUCCUCAUCUUCGUGGUCGUGCCCGUCGCGCUUGUUAUUUUUCUUGGCGGUGUCCUCUUGGGCGGCCCGCCGUGUAUAGAUACUUUUGAGGACGCGGCACUCCUCCAUGGUAUGGUUAGACUUUGGGUGUAGCUGGCACGGUCCCUUCAACGUUUUGUUGUAGUCGUCUUGGUAGUCCCGUCGUCCAUUGGGACGUUUGACCGUAUUUACUUCGUGGUCGUAUUCGCGAGGGCGCUUUCCUCUGAAGUCGUCGCGGCUGUCGCGCCGCCGAUCCCAACCCUCUCGGUGAUCGCGGUUGUCAGAGCGGCGGUGAUUUCUGUUGUCGUAGCGACCACGACCAUCAUCUCGCCGGGAGGGCUGGUCGUUGCCUCUCGCAUCGUCUCGGAUUAGUUUUUCUGCGUCAUCAGCAUCGGCGUAAUUUUUGGCCGUGGCGAGGAGCUCUGCUACCGUUGAUGGACGCUUACGCAACAGCUUGUUCCUCAGCGCUUCAUGGAAACGCAAGCCCUUGAUAAAGGCUGAUAUGGCCUCGUCAUGAGAAAUCUUCGGGAUUUUGAGGCGCAUAUCCGAGAAUCGUCGGAUGUAAUCGCGCAGAGGUUCAUUCUUCCUGUCUCUUAUCCUUUCAAGGUCAUACUUGUUUCCGGGCUGCUCGCAUGUGGCGAUGAAGUUGUCGAUGAAAGCCUGUCGUAGCUCUUCCCAAGAAUCAAAGGAGUCCUCGGGCAAGCCGAGAAGCCACUGAUGACCAGCCUGGUCGAGGACUACGGGGAAGUAGUUAGCCAUGACGUGCUCAUCUCCUGCCGCUGAUCGGACGGCGAUUUCGUAGAGAGUGAUCCAGUUCUCUGGAUUUUCCUUGCCGUCGUAUUUUUUAAGUUUUUCGAGUUUGAAAUUGCGGGGCCACACGACCUGGCGGAGGUGUGAGGAGAACUGCCUUAGGCCCGGAGGACCGUGAGUUGCAUCGUACUCGAUGCGGCGCAGGUUUUCGUGGACUGCCCUCUCCGCGGCGCGCCUGUUGAUGCGGUCCCGGGCAUCUUUGGGAGGGAUGUUGUGGCGGAGAUCCCUGUGUUGAUUUUCUUCUUGGCCGCGUGCGCGGUUCUGCUGGCGGCGGCCAUCGGCGUCCCGACCACCAUCGUCGCGCCGUGAGUCCCCUCGAUGGUUGUCGGGGGAGCGGCUGCGGUGACGCCUGCCGGGUGAGGCCCGGCUACGAUUAGUCUGGUCGGAGGCGGCUUCCGUAUAAGAAACGUCCUGGACUCUCUUGAGCAGAGUGGCUGUCUGUCCCAUUGCGGCGAUCAGGUGUGCUCGGAUGCUGGUCCGGACUCCCUGGCAUUCGGGGGUGUCAGGAAGCCGAUCCAGGUUGGCCAUGGCGACAGCCACGUUGGCGCUUGGCGUUUUGUAGACCGGCUGGUCCCCGACCAUGUCAAAGGCAUCGUUGAGGUUACUUGGUGGCAUCUGUUGUUGCUCGUCCGCACGCCGUCGGGCGCGAUCGGCGUUACGCUGUUCGCGGAGUUGCCUCUGGUCGUCUGUUUCUCCGUCAACAGCCGGUUCGUCGGCGCUGACAUUGAACACAAUAUCCCCUCGCCGGGGGGGGAAUAUCGGGAAUCGGUUGAAACCCGGAGGGUGUGAAGGAAAAUCCAGGUCGUAGCCCUCGUCUUCGGUGUUUAUAACCUCGGUGGGGACGGAGCCGGUGCUUGAGUUGGUGCUGGAAACCUGGCCGUCCCGUAGCUCUCGGAUGGUCACCAUGUUGACAUGGUGACGAUUGUUCCUUGUCGGCGACCAGCCCGCUUUGCUGAAAACGGAUUGGACAUGCUGUGAGUAAACAGAGGCCGAGUUGUUCAGGCCGCGAGGAUAGUCUUCCUUUUUGAGCUCGACGGAUCGUCCUGAGGGGGUUGAGGUUAUCGUCAGGGACGUUCCCAGCCGUUCGUGUGUGGCGACACGAGUUGGCCGGCGGAAUUUCGAAAAAUCCGCUCGAGCAGCUUGGUCGGGCCGGCGCAGAACUCCAUCUAUUAGUUGGGAGACUUCGAGUAGCUUGGAGUCAGCGCGAUCGAGCGCUUGGAGGAGGUCCGAGCAGUCGAUCUCCUUUCCCUUGUAGAGCGGGAACGGUGGUCGGGAGCUUGGUGCCGUCGUGCGUGUGGUCGGAGACGGCGUGAUCUCAGAUUGGAUCUGGAUCUCUUUCGGAACCGUGGUCGCGAAGCCGCCGCUGCACGUCGUCCACGUGAUUUGGCCGACGGUGAACGUGAGGCCUUCGGGCACGGUCGCGGAAGCUGGGAUCGUGACCAUCUUGUUCGCCGGAAAAGUUGCACGCACACCCCCUACCUGGCGCGCCACUGUCGACGAAAGCUAGUCGGCAGUCUACCUUGGGGUAUACCCACGGUAGUAGUUUAUCGGUAGACGGUGCGCAAACUACGAACUCGAUGGUGACGCAAGACACGGACAAGCUUUUUAUCCAGGUUCGGCCGCCGAGUUGGCGUAAUACCUACGUCCUGCGUCUGGUUGUAUUGAUUUGUGUUGAGAGAAUAUCUUGUCCUAGGGGGGUCCCUUGCCCCUCCUUAUAUAGUCUGGAGGGCAGGGUUACAGAUCUAGAAACUAAUCCUAGUCGGUUACAAUUGCCAUGGAUAAUUCGAUAUCAAUUCCUAUUCUAACCGACUAGAGUCCUGCUUGAUCUCCACAUCUUGUUUCCUUGCGCAGAACUCCAAGCUGUCGAAUCAAGCCUUGAACUCGUCUCGUAAUGGGCCAAACCUCCUGGCCCAAGUCUAGCCGUAAGGGUAUAGGGGUUUAUACCCCCACAGGCCGCCAAUUUCAAUGUACUGAACUGUGUACUGGAGAUUUCAUAGUAAUUUGUUUAGAUUUAGCAGCACACAUAUUAUACAUAGGGUAAUUAUACAUAGUAUGGUCGAUGCCUAGGAUUAUAUGUUUUUUUGGUCUCUAGGUGUACAGUGAAAGACCUGAUACAAUAAAGUAGGACAUAGAGUAGGGAUACUGAAGGUCUAUAGUUUAGUGACUCCGAACAGGGUCGAAAGGCGGUGAUCAUGUAGAUUAUUAUGGUAGUGGUUAUUAUACAAGGUUGUUGAUGCUUUCAUUGCCAGUUCCUAUGUAGAGUAGUCGGCGAACUGUGUUGUUGCAGUUUUGUUUUCAGUCGUCGUCGCUGUCGUUUGAGGUGCUCAUCGAUGAAGCUUGCGAGGUGACUGCAUGGAUGUGUUGUAUACAUCAGAUGUCAAGAACGUUUUUUGCAAAGUAGAUUGUAUAAGAUAGUUGAGUAAUUGGUGCGGAAAUUGGUUUUCGUGUGAUUUAUGACGGCAAUAGAUGAAACUAUAUCAGGUACUUGAAAAUAAGUGUUGUAUUAUGAAAUUAUAAGCGGGAAGAGUGUGUUUUGAUGUACCUUGGAGCCGAGAGGUUUCUUCGUCUGUGUCACUGGUGCCAAUUAGUUCCAUCCGUUGUUCUGUAUCAAGGUCCGAGUAUCCUGUGAAUUUGAGACAGAAGAGAUAUUAGCAUCUGGUCACGAUGGUUUGGAGCGGUGUAUUUGUAACAAAGGUUAUUACCGCGGAGUUCAGAUCGACGUUCUCCUGGUGGUGUCUGUCUGCCUAGCAUUUCAUCUGUGAAUGUCUGGUAACAUAGGCGCCAAAUGCUGAUGAUGUCGUUCUGUCCAGUUAAGUUUCUGAUGCCUAAAUGAGCAGUUUGUGGGACCAUUGUCAGGCGUCCGCGGGCACUAAGGUCAUAUUCGGCUGUACCAGAUAAGAAUGUGAUCCCAUGGAUGAUGCAAAUUCUAUUGAAGAGCCUGUAUAUCAGCGAGUUGCAGCAUAGAUGUGGUGGUACGCCGCGGAUCUGGAUGGUCAGGUGUUCAUAUGGUUCUGUCAAGGGUGGGCUUUUAGCUAAGUGUACGUUGAGAGGACAGGAGGUUAGCACGGUUUGUAAAGGAACUGCUGUUGAUCCAUGUUCUGGGUUCCAAGGCAUGAGGGCGAUCAUGUAGUUCUGAACAAUUAUAAUGCCUUUGCGCAACAUGUUUAUCUUCGCAUCUGCUGUAUGUACGUGUAGGAAAUAACCUUGGCCAUAGCUGGAUAUGUCCUGUACCUGAAUAUUGACUUGGAAUUGUUGGUGGACCGCUUCGGCAAGGUCGUAAUGGUUGAAUGCGUCUGAGAGAGUAUCUGGGAUCUUUGCGAAGACAGCGUUGACAUAGGCGCUGGUGUUGAUAUCCUGAAGUCAGCUUUAUCGAUGAUUAUGAGGUUUUCGAAUCUGUGAUUCGCCAUCUGCUGGAAAUUGUAGAUGUGUGAGUGUUUUUGGUAAAUUAACAAUGAAAUGAUGUAUUUGUGUAUGUAGUACGGUCUUCGAGUCUAUGGUAAUGUAGGUAUAUUUAAUUUAGAGUAUGUGGCGCUGCAAAAAUUAUAUGAGGCCAUUAAAUUGAUGUACUGUGUUGCUAUUAUUUGUUUAUGAAGUGAUGAGAGUAAAAAUAAGGCUCUUAAACAGUGUGCAUGGUGGACGUCCAUUUUUUUUGUAGAAGAAAUAGCAAUAUACAAGCAGGAUGAACAUAAACUUGUUUUAUAUGACUAUGGUUCAUAAUAGGGUCUUGUACAUGUACUGAGGAUAAAAUAUGUGUACCUUCGUAACAAACAUUCAGAAAGAGUAUUGACUAAAUUUGUGGUAUUACCUAAUCAAAACAAAAAUGAGUGGAAAUUUUGGGCAUAACUUAAGGCGAGUUGUGGAGGGCUAGGAACAAUAAUGAUGAUCAGGUAGUUUACUUACAUUAGGCCGAAGUAAAUUUUCUCCGUAGCUGUUGGUGGUGUUGUGGAUCUAGCUUCUUCAGGUUAAUGGGGCGCAGGCCAUGGUCCAGAGGGUGUGGAUGGUGGAGCUGUUAUUGGAGGGAGACGGGAGGGGAGGGGAGAAGAGGGGAGGCACAAGUAGGUUAUGCAAUCUUGGGCGGAGGAAUCCGAAGCUGGGGAGACCAAAGGAGGAAGGCGAACAGUGUUGAGGCCAUGGAUAAGGUUCUCUGGAUUGCUGAGGCGAGAGGAAAGAUGUAGGAGGUAGGUAUUAGUAGUAAAGUGGAUAAGGGAGGGAGGUAGUUGAUAGUAAUAAAGUGGAAGGUGGGCAGCACGAUGGGGUUUUUUUGGCUCAUCUAUUUAUUAUUUGGCUGUUAGAAAAUUGUACAAAAUUCUGUAUAUUUGGCAGUGAAAUCUUUUGAACUUUAACUAACUUUAUUCCCAAAAGUAGCAACAUGUAUGACAUAAAUUGUGAAUCUUGUAGAGGUAUAAUUUCUGAUAAAUUUGUAAUGGUAUUGGUUUGUUUAAAAAAAUUUGUUAUUUUUUUUGUACAAAUUUUGUAAAACUUUUAAAUGUUUCUCUCUCGUUCAUUCGUUAUUUAGUUUGUAAAAAAAUGUAUAAAAUUUGCUUUGUCUGGCAUUGAAAUUUGUAUAGGCUUAAUUAGCUUUAUACCAAAAAGUGGCAAUAUUUGUGGCAUAAAAUAUGAACGCUACUAAAAGAUAUUUUAUGAGAAAUGUAAUGUUAUUAGUUUGAUAUAAUGAGUUGUAGGAUUUUUUUUACAAAUUUGGUACAAUAUAGUUUAGUUUUUCUUGUUUUGGCGUUUAUUUGGUUUUUUAAGGCUGUUAUCCGUAAUAUUUUUUUUUGCCACUGAAUUUGACCAAUGAAGUAGAUGGUAUGAGGACGAAUGUGUUGCAGUAUUGUUUAUGUGAGUUUAUACAUAGUUCUCCCAGUAUGUUAAACAAUUUUUUAGAUUAAUUUUUUACAACGGCGAAACAUAGCGGUACAUUUGGUAUAUAUUUUUAAAAACGAGCGGUGCCGCUGCUUUUGCAGUGGAAUAAACCUAUAAGAUGAAUCAAAACUGUUAUAUAAACAUAUUUAUUGAAGUCUGGAUAGAUUAUAUUACACAUGAUGUGAGUAAUAUUAGUUGGUUCUUACAAGCACAAGGAUCGUACUUAUAAGGCUGUGCUAUAUAUUACAAACUUUGUACAAACACUGCAUUGCGUAGGCUAACGGAACAGCUAGGGUGAAUCCUGUGGCACGAGGAUUUGCUAAAUGUGUUCCUAUGUCGAGGGCUAUUAAACAGAUAUGAAAUAUGAGUGCAUGAUGUCGGCAUAUGUCCUUAUUAGGCUGACGAAGUCUUCAUUCCUUAUGCUAGAGCUCCUGUAGUAGGGUAUUGACUGUUAAUCAUGGUUGUACGAAAAUUGUUGGUACAGCUGUUGUCAUGGGUGUUGACUACGUACAUAAGUCAGUAGUAGAUCCAAAAUUUGAAAGUUACCUGGUAUGUCAGCUCGAAGCCAUCGACUGGGGAUAGCAUUCGGUGAUUCCAUAUCCAAAUGUGUGCAAAGAAACCGAAUCUGUAUAUAGAAAAAAUUGUGUAUUAUGUUUUAAUAAUUUGUUAAAUAUAGGUGUUAUUAAUGUGUUUUUUUUGGGUUACCUUUGAGUCUGUGAAGUCAUCGGCUGAACUUAUAAUACUAUUGUAAUAAGCUGUCAUGACAUUAUCAAGCUUAGUUACAGCAUCAUGUAAGUGCAUGAUGUUGUUUAUUCCGUCGGAUGCCAAACUGUAUUCGUUGUGUAAAUGGCCGAAACUUUCAUAUAUUGGAACUAUGUCUUCUCUGACAUAUGACACACAACAUUGUAGUAGGCUCAUGUAUACGCUGAGGUUGUUGAUGUCAUUAACCAGUCUUUUUAGGAUUGGGUAGUUGAGGUCGACUAUUUGAUAUCCCAGAACAUUUGUGAUUUGCUUUAGGGUGUAACAGAUAGCAAGUGUUUCAAUGGAUGCUGGAGUUUUGUGAGGAAGUUCAUUAUACUUGUAUGUCAAGUUUUGUGUACGCACGAAUGCUUCAAACUGACCUGUCGAUGUUUCGAUGGUUGUAAUGGCACUCUGUGCUUUAUAUGCUGCUUUUGUAGUCGCAGUAUAUAUGACUUUUAGCCGGGUAACAUAUGAUGGUGGGACUGGUAUCUGCAUGGUUUAUGUUACUGUUAGUUGAAGCAGUUGAUAUACUUGAUUUAUAUGAGUAAUAUUGUAUGAGUAGUAUAUAUUUUGUUGUGUAAAAAAAUCAUACCUCAUGCAGCGGUGGAAUCUUAUUGAAACCAGUUAGGUUCAUAGGUUCUUCUGGUUGUGCCUUGACUAAGUUGAUGUGGCCAUCUAUAAUGCUGUAAUUUCUAUAGGCGUGGUUUGCAGCAUUACUUAGAUGCUCAGCAAAGUGACAGAUAUAUAUAUAUGUACCAUCCAGGCUAUUAUUUGCAGCAACUUGAAUAAUGGUGCGGAUGGCGGUAGCUUGGUUGAGGAACUGCUGUAGGAACUCUUGUAGCAUUUGUUGUAACUGAAUAGUUUUAUAUCUGCAUAUCUUCAAGAUUUUGAACUUUUGGUAGUAGAAGUCUCGGAGUUCUGAAAUUAGCAAGUAGCUGUAGUCUGGUGACUUCAGUUCGUAGGCUGUGUCUAUCAUGCUAGCAUAAUUAUCCUUGAGAGCCUGGUUUCCUAAAAUGGAUAUCAUAGUUAGAUCCAUAAUUUGUAGUGCCUGUUCAUAAGCAAAGAGGUAGUACAUUAUUUACCUGGGUGUGUUCUCAACGCUGAUGGUACAGGAAGUAUUGUGAGUGGAUCAAUAUUGAUUUUUAGAUCAUCUGCUUGAUUCGAUAUGCGCCAAAGAUAGAUAAAGGUGAGACAUUUUGUAAGCAAAACUUAAAAAACAUGGUGAUAGUAUAGUAUUUCAUUGCAACUGUACCUGUUAUCCAAGGUAGCUGAGUUAAUUCGUACUGUUUUGACCAUGGCACGAUUUUGAGGCGGAAGUUUCUUGUUUGUAGAGGCGAUGCGCUCACUGUUUGUCGCUGUAGGUGAGAAUUUUGCAAAUAGAUGAUAAAAUUUGGUGGCCUAUAUGUUAUAUCAGAGGUAGUCAUGUAAAAGCCCAACUGGUUUCUUAUUGUCUCUACAAUUUCUUUGGAGACCUGUCUUGGUUCUUCCCUGUAUGUAUUUGUUGGUCUUGCGAUGAUGGCAUACUGCCAGUAUGUUUCUGAAACAUGAGCUGUGAAAUUAUUUUUCCUCUAUUUUAACUAAAGAUUGUAAGAAAAAAAUGUAAUGGAAAGUGCAACUAAAAAGUAAUAACUAACAAGAGUGAUAAUAUGUACCUUCAUUGAUUCCUGGUAUUUCCAUCAUGGUUUUCACUGUGCGGGUAAUUGAUCUGCAGUGUUAUGUAAAAUAAUGUCAAUAUUAAGUAUGUGAUUAGUAUGAAGAUAUUAGUGUCAAAUUUUUAUAGGAAUAGGUUUUAUUUUGUUUACUAAGAUGUUAAUAUGACAUGUGUAUUUAGUUAAUAAACAGUUAGUUCUAAUUGAUAUGUGACUAAUAUUUGGUAGGAAAACUGGUGUGGCCGAUAGGUCGAUAUCUGAAAUUGAUGUGAUAGAUAUAUGGGGGCAGUGAUUACAAUUUGGUGUUGAUUAUAACUUAGGAAAAGCUAAUAGAAUAAUUGCAAUAAUCAGUGGAUGAAGACAGAUUGAGAAAAAGAGAGAGAAAAACCUAGGGUUCCAUGGAUGAGGGAGCUUGCCGAUACGCUGUCUGAGUUGAAGGCCGCUGCACUGGGGAGCAGUCGUAGGGUGAGAUAGCCGUGGUGCGGUCGUCGUCCGCCGCUGCCGAUUCUUGCGUACCUAUCGACGGCGCUAACACAAGGAUAUGGUGGGGUGGAAGAAAUAGGGUUGUCUAGGUUUUGAUGGAGCUCGGUGACGCGAUACUUAGUUGGGACGAAGCGUUGCUGGGAAGAAGUCGGGUGCCGAUUCGGUGCCCCUGUAGUUUGGAGUAGCAGCCCGUCGGCUCGUGGUGAUCGGAAGUACUGAGUGUAUAUGUACAGGAGCAGUAAACUGGGCUGAAACUGUGGUGCUUUGUGGGCUUGGUUUGCCUUUUUUUUUGCCUUUUUUGGUGGCUUCACUAUGUUGGGCCUAACGGUGCAGCCCGAUCGUUUUUUACGUUUGUGACCUGUGUUUUGGAUUUAUUUUCUUAUAGUUAAGGUCCAUUGCUGGCCUUAUCCUUUUUCCUCUUUCUGGGUGUUUGCCCUGGGUUAGGCUUAAUGCUAUAACCCGAUUGUUUUUUAUGUCUGUGAGGUGUGUCCCUAAUUUGUUUUGUUAUAGUCAAUAUCUAUUACUCAAGGGUCGAAGCCAACAGAAUUAUGAUAAUAAGGGCGUUGAGUUGCUGACAUGACCGAUAGCACGAACAUAUUCAGUAUCAUGUAGAAGACAUCAGUUUCAUGUACAAGACAUCAGUAAGAGUGGCGCAGGUAGUUUUUGUAGACGGGUAAAUAGUUAACAAAAUACUACCAUUAUACUCGCUUUUAUGUAGAAGGCAUUGGUAACAGGAGUGUAGGCAGUUUUUGUAGAUGAGUAGAUAGUUAACCAGGUCGACACUGGUGACAGGUAAUUAACUACAUAGUAGCAAUAUUUGUUGAGAUACCAGCAUUUUGAGCAACCAAUAUAGAAGGAACAUGGUAAAAACCACUCGCUUUUAUGUAGAAGACAUUGGUAGCAGGAGUGCAAGUAGUUUUUGUAGAUGAGUAAAUAGUUAACCAGAUAAACACUGGUGACAGGUAAAUAACUACAUAGUAGCAACAUUUGUUGAGAUACCAGCAUUCUGAGGAACCAAUAUACAAGGAACGUGGUAAAAACUAAAAUAAAACUGCUAGGUGGGAAUAGCUGAGCCUAGGUAGAGUCCUGUGUUGUAAAUAUAAAGCAACACGCUCUUAAAGACCAUAGGCAUCAUGUUGCACAAAAGGUUGUUGUCGACUGAUCGUGAAUACGUAUCACCUGAAAUGUAUAAGGGUCUUAGGCAAAGUUUUGGUAAAUAUAUAAAGUUUUCAUAUAAGUGCAAAAGUUGAGGACAUGGCGUGUAUAAAAAAAAUGUUGCUACAAAUAUUUAUCUUACUAAUAAUAAAUGUUAAAAGCAUAGUUGAAGAAUGCAAUGUUCACCUGUCCUGAUUUCUUCAUUUAGACCUGAUCAGAAGACGCCUGCUGCUUCAGGGGCUUAUUUCUGGACCUGCUAGUGCAUACAUUUGUCAGUUGUUAAAUUUGUGUGCUAUUAUUAGAUUGCUUUCUUGGCUUUUUAUGGUCUUUUGUUCCAGAUUCCUACCUUUUUGUUUUUGGUGCAGGUGGUGGAUCGGUUAGACCAACAAGGUUGUCUUCAGACACUGUUUCUUCAUCCAAGUUUUCAUCACCUCUAGUCUCCUGAGUCAAUGGAAGGGCGAUGUAAACAAUCAGAGAUAAUGUAUAGUUUUUAGAGGCAUAUGUUAAGAAGGGUAACAAUUUUGUCAGUUGUUUGGAAGUACAGUCUGUAUACAGUUAAAGCAAAACAUAAAUUUGAGUACGGGUUUUACAAACACAAAUUAGGAUCUGGUAACAGUGUUACCUUUUCAGGUUGCUUAUGUUCUCCAAAUAGCCUUUUCCGGGUAUUUGUUGGAGGCACCGUUGAUCUGGUAGAUAUUAAAAAGAGGAUGUAAGUGGUACAUGGAUACAAAGAUUAUUAGUUGUUCUAUAUAAUUAUAUCUUACUCAUUGGUAUGAUCUUUAGUAGGUGUUUUGUCUUGAUCAAUGACUGGGGCAGGCGUCUGUAAACAAAAGCGUGAAAAUGAGUGUGCUAGGUAUAUAGUCGUAUAGAAAUUGAUAAAUAGAGAGGGGAAAAUGUAUAUGUUUAACAUACUAAUUGGCUAUCCUGAGCAAUCUCAAAAACUUGUUGGUGAGCCUUUGGAGUGUUCGUUAUUUGUGGUGGAGUGCGUUCAUGUGUAGAGGUAGUGCACAUAACUGUAGUACACUGUGUGGUGGUUGCAGAUCCAGCAAGGUACAGUGGAGAAUGACGCUUAUCUGAUCUUUCCAAGAUAUGCUUCACCAGGUAUUGUCUUUUUGAUCUACUGCUGAAUGAGUCCUCCGUGAGGUUAAUGGACAAGGUGAAUUUCUUGGAAAUAAUGGACUGUAGUGGCUGCGGCAACCCAGACGCCAAUUUCAAAGGGUUUAAAAUUAGAUCACAAUCUUUGAGAACCAUUAACUUAGCCACCUCAUCGUAUGCAAAGAAACUUGCUUCUGCUGUUUCGUCCCUUGCAAAGAAGUUUAGUAAAUACCUGUGUAUUUGUAAGGCAAAAGUUUGUGAACCUCAUGGUUGUCAAAAUUCUGGAAUAUAACAAGAGGGUGUUUUGUAACACCUAUGUAGUUGUUUCUUACCUAGGCAAAGCAUUUGUGCCAUAACAUUUUGGACACCUAUAUCCACCAGCAGCCUGUGGAUCCAUUCUUUUCUUACACGGUUUGCAUGUCAUGUACCACCAACUAAUAUUGUCUGGAAUAUUUGUGAUUGUCACUAUGCAUUUGUAACCUUCAUCCUGAAACAUGUUAAACAAAGCUGUAAGAAACCCCAGGGUAUGAGACCAAAAGAAAGCUUAAUGAAUGGGUCAUGUAAAUCAUACCGGAAAUUCGUAUGGGUCUAUACUAUCUAAUUCAGCAAUCGUUUUCAGUGCUAGUGGAGUGUCCUCUGGCUGUGCACGAAGGUUGUCUUCAGAUGGAGGUGGUCGCUCUAUGUACAUCGUUUCACCCCUGAAUCUAUUUAGUUGUGACCAAAUAUAUAAUGUAAGGAUUAAUCUUUUUUAUGAUGCUACUAUUGUUAAGCAUACGAUUAGAAAUUGGAAUUGUUCCAUGUACUGCUUACCUAUUAUAAAAUGGUAAAGCCUCCUGAAUGUCUGGAUUUAGAUAGUAGUCACAGCCACUGCUUCCACUAAGGUACGGUUUAUUCUGUGCGUAAUGUGAGUGCCAUUUUCUUGGUAUGAAACCAACAAAGAGAGCUAUAACUGGUUUGGGAUCUUCUGCAGUGUUCAGAUGAUCGACAUUGAAGUUUAUGGCAUGGUCACCCCAAAGCGUUAUUUUGAGCUCAUCGUCGCUGCACAAAGAAAGUAUAUAACUACUGUGAAAUCACAUUUACAAUACAUAGGGAACAUAAUCUGGUGUAUAUCUGAAGAUUUGUUACUUGUCUUUUUUAUUUUUUCAUACCUCAUAUCCUUUAUGAACACUUCUCUAAGGAUGCUUGCUCUUUCUUUUCCUUUUGGGGUUAUAGUUGUUGCAGAAGUGUAUUUUGUAAUAUAACCCAGGACAUCUGAGAACAAGAUGGAAACCAUAGAAUAAGAAUCAGCUGCUAUACACUGAUAAAGAACCAUGAGGGCAACAUGCAGGAGCUCACCUGUCAAGAUAGGAACCGCUCCUUGUGCAGGCACAAUUUUGUCAAAAGGGGUUAGAGCGUAUACAUAUUUUGGAAAUGUUUUUGGUGGAUUCUCGGCUAAUUUGAUGGAUGUAAACUCUGUGAAUUCAAUCAUCAGAUGAGCACUGAAGGGUUUGUAACAUGCCUUUGCAGGAUUUACUCUGAAUUUACUAAUCACAUAAGUGUUGUCCACCUGUAUAAGAGAAUCCAAUGUUUGGAUAAUUUCUUGGGGAAUCUCAGCAUACAUAGUAUCUCCCUGUGCAGAGAGAAAAAUGGUAUUAUUUUAAAAAUUUAUAACAUGCACAAUACUCUGUUCCCUUGUUUUCUUUUUUUACUUGUUUAACUACUAACUUUAUAUCAUGUGCUGAUAAAUGGUUCUUGGAAACACAUGUGCAACAGUAUUACUGUGUUUAAAUGGACACAAUUGUUAACAAAACGCAAUAAUAUAUGACAAAAUCUUACCCUUGCAUCUGCUAGGACCAAGCCAACGUACAGCGGCGUUCUCUGACCCAUGUUUUCUCUAACUGUCCAUUUCCUCAGAACACGAACACAAACAAAGCCUUUUGGGCGACCCUUCUCCAACUUUCCUAGGUAGCUGGUCUGCAUUCUACAGAUUAUGUAGACAUCGAAGAAGUCAGGUUUGAACCUAUAGUAUAAAAACCUAUGAGCGUUUAAAUGAUAUACAGUAAAAUAUAAACAGUAUGGCUUCUUUGUAGAACAAAAUUAUUACAAAAGAAACACACAGUAUAGAACAAAACACAGUUUACAUUUCUGUGUCCAUCAAACAUGCGAAUGCUUCUUUAUAUAUGGAACUGUACAUAUAUGGAGGCUCAAACUAUUCAGAAGCAGGCCAUAGAGUCAUGCAAGAUCAAAUACCUAUACAUUGUAACUACUAACACCAUGGCUAAUCACAUCUACGAGAAUAAUAUCAAAAGCCCAAAUAGCCAUGACGGUACUAAGAAACAGAAGAUUGUAGUGGUAACUUGCUGACUCUAAUGUGUCGUUGGCAAAUAUGCUAGGACCUCUUUGUACACAACAUUUCUUGUUUUGUUGGUGCAGCCUCCUUGUUCAUCCUCUAUUAGAAUCUUUAGUCCAUCCUUUUUUGUCACGCGUGACACAGCAACAUAGAGCUGACCAUGCGAGAAAACAGGUUUUUUAAGAUAAACGCCCACAGCUGAUAGUGUUUGCCCCUGGCUUUUAUUGAUUGUCAUUGCAUAGCAGACCUUUAUUGGGUAUUGACGUCUUUCAAGUACAAAUGGCCAUUUGUUGGUCUUCAAAGUCAGAGUAAUUCUUGGGAUGAGGACCUUUUUUCCACAGAAUUUUCCAGUUAUUAUUUUAGCUUCUAUCACCAUAUCUCCUAAAGAAACUAUGACCAAUCUAGUACCAUUGCAAAGACCAUCAGAUUGGUUAAGAUUACGAAGAAGCAUGACUGGAGUACCCUUUUUAAGUAUGAGGCGAUGCUGUGGAAAAUUAUUUCCAUUAAGUGAAUUUAAAAAUUCCAGUGGAUACAAUAGGUCAUAUGCCUCAUGGGGCCCAAUAGAUUUGGCAAUACUAUCUGAGCUAAGAUAUUCUUUUUCCAUGUCUGGCAGUAAGGAAACCAUAUAAUCAUUGAUGGCAUCAGUUUGCUCAUUUGUUGGUGUUAAUAUAGCUCUCUGACUGAGGUACGCUGUAUUUUUGUAAUCUGUUAUGAAGUUUGGGUAAGUAGCAUUAACUAUACAAGAUAACUUGUCACCUUCUGUCCUCAAAAGUAUAUCUUCAGGUAUCUCGAUCCAUGAAGGUUCAGAUUCACCUUCCCUUGCAACUGAAUCGACCUUUCCUUCCCCAAUAUCGAGCACCCAUUUACUAAACUCAGCAACUUGUCUCUGGUAAUCUACAUUUGAUGAAGAACAAGAGAGCCGCAUAUUCUGAGUUAAACUGAGAAUCUGUACCUCUGACCAAAGUCGAGAUUUAACUAUAGCAGAAUCGAUAAUCUGAGAUCUGCUUCCUGCUUCUACAACAGGGAGAAUUUGUCUCAAGUCACCACCCAGUACCACAACCUUUCCACCAAAGGGGAUAUUAGCAGCUUGUGAACAAUGCAUGGAUUGUAUAUCACGAAGACUUCGAUCGAGAGCCUCAAAAGCUCUUUUAUCGGUCAUCAGAGCCUCAUCCCAAAUAAUCAAAGAUGUUUCUUCAAUCAAUUCAGAAAGCAUUGUUCCUCUUCUAAUGUCACACACUGAGGUGUCAUCUAGGUCACAUGGAAUCUUAAAUCUAGAGUGUGCCGUGCGGCCUCCUGGUAAAAGCAGCGACGCGACUCCCAAAGACGCAACAGUUAGGACAAUUCUCUGCUGUGCUCUUAGGUAAAUAACGAUACGAUUCCACAGAUAGGUCUUACCAGUUCCUCCAUACCCAGAAACAAAAAAAAAUCUUGGUUCAUUCUUCAUGACCCUGUCCACUAUGGUGGUAAAUGCAUGUGUUUGAUCAGUGUUGAGAGUAACAGUAGGGUUAUCCAUGUCCACUAAAGGAUCAGGAGCAUAUGAAAGUUCCUCAUCAAUCAACCGGUUGUAUGAUGCAGAGUAUGAAUCUCCUGUUUUCUCAGGUAGGUUAAAUUCCCUUAUGUUUCUCCCAUUCUGCACAAAUAUGGAAGCCAGUUCUUCUAGAAGAUAGUCUCUUGCAUUAGCUUCAGGCAUUUGAUAGUUAGGAUCACCAAUAAUAUCUCUAAAUUGGUAUUGGAUAUCAUCAGCCAACAGUUGCCAUACUUUCUCAAAGAAAGCAUUUUCAUCCCCAACCUGGCAGAAGACUAUCAUGGUAACAAAGAGCUUACGUAGUUGGGCUGAGGUAGCCCAACCCGCAGCUUCAUCAAAAGCAUCAUACCACUCUCGGUCAUCCCCAAGAAGACCACGGGAUCUACAUGCUUCUUUAAAAGUUGAAUGAUGUAUAUGGUUAUGAAAUCUAAGGUCUUGGUAGCUAACAGCACCUUUGACAAUGAGCAACAACAUUCUUAAAUAAUACCGUUCCCCUCCAGAAGGAUGAACAUAAUGUAAACGACCAAUUUUUCCUUGCUGACGGUGACGCCUUUCCCAAACUCGAUUUUUGUGUUCCCAUUUCCACCUUGAAGGAAACUGUGAGUAUGUAAGGACCCGAGCAUCAGGGUUCAACUGAUUGCAUGUGAACCAUUCUGUUAGCAUAGUUUUCCUUAAAAAUUCCUCGGAAACAACUCUAUCCAUUCUAGCUCUAGCACUAAAUGUAAUGAAAUUUUCAUUAGGUAGAUGUACAGGCAUUCUUUCAACAGCCGGAUGGUGUCUAUGAAUAUCAUAACCCAAUAUUCGCCAACAGGCAUCUUGCUCACAAAUGUAGUGACAAUCAAGAUAUUCCCUAACUUCAUUAAUUGUGUUUGUAUCUGUAUCAUAAGGGGCGGACUCUGCUCUUCUUACUCUUUCAAGAUAAACCUUACUACAAUCAGCACCCUUUGUCACAUACUUGAAUAAAUAUUUGAUGAAAGUGCUUUUGUUGCACCAUUCAACAUUAAUAUGAGCCUGGUAUUUCUUAAGAAGACUCAUAUUGUAUGGAACAACCCAUCUAUUGUCCAUAUGCAGACCUCCUUUUUCAAUAUAAAGACUACUCUCACGGCGUCUGUACAUGGCAAAUCCGUCAGAAUUUACUGAAGUCUCUUGAUGAUAUAGUUUUGGAAAAUGUUUGGAACAUCUCCCAGCCUUCAUGCAAGGGCAAACUGGAUUGUGUGACCCACAAGGCCCAUGAAUCAUGUGCUCAGCAACAAGAGCAUAACCAAGUGGGUCAUCUCUUGGAUCAGGUAUCUCAGCAGUAACAUAUGAGUCAAUCAUUGUAGGAGUUGGAUCUGAUGUGUCAGCUGUAGUCCAUAAAAUAAUAUGCGCAUGUGGGAGGCCUCGUUUCUGGAAUUCUACGGUGUGCAACACUUAAAUUCAAACAAUUGAAAUUGACAUAGAUAAGGUUAUCAACGAUAGGUAAGACCUUCAUGUUCUAAUAGCGAGGAGUAUGACAAAGAUAUAUAUAAGAAUACUACCUGCGUUGCAUGGUCCAAAAGCACGACCAUCCUUGAUAUCGUGCAAGAGUUCCUCUAGCUUCAUAUUGAAUACUCGAACAAUGAUGUCAGACCUAUCACUUGGUUUCUGACCAGCAUCAAAUAUGGCCUCAUUGAUCUCAAACCACUUAGGAUUACAUGUGAAAGUGACAAAGUAGUCGGGAGGACCAUAUUCUCGACAAAUGGCAAUCCCAUCAUGAUAGUUUUGUAUCAUGUACCGUCGACCUCCUGUAUGUGAUGCUGGUAAUACUGUCAUCUUUCCCAUCUCAGCACCUUCAGUGCAGCCUCUAUUAACAGCAUCACAGAUACCCUGAAUACUUUCCAUUCUAAUGUCUUUCUGAUGCUUCAUUAUAUACCAUAGUCUAUUCUCAUCGACACAUGCACGUGCAUCAACCUUUGCCUGGCUGGAUAGGGCACCGUAACAGAGAUAAGGAUUUGGCUGAUUCUUUCUAUAAUGAAACAUGUAGCAAAAAUAGUCUUGCAUCGUGACUUUUGUGUACGAAUUUUGUUGAGUUGGUCUAACACCCGCAUACAAAACUCCAGCCUGAAAGCCACGCUCACCAAAUGGAAACAACAAUGGAUACUGAAGAGCCAUAAAAGCAGGAUGGAGAGCUGAUAUUUGUUUCAGUUCGUUUGAACGUGUUUCAAUGAUGAUGUCACGUUCAAAAGACUCUGGAGAAAAACCACCAACAAUAAGCAUAGCUAACUGAUUAACUGUUGGUAGGCUAUACUGAGGAGGAUCCCCAUCUCUAGGCGCAACAAUUCGAACCACAAAGUCCUCAUCACCAUGAUCAACCAACCUUUCUCUAGCCAUUCUGAACUGCUGUGUUAGAGGAUUAUAAUCAUCAAGCAUACGUAUCAGUGACUGAACUAUGCAAGGAUCUAGGUCUGUACCCCUUUCAUCAUCACGUGAUAGGCAUUGCAUUCUAUUUUGUACCUCAUUAGAAGUGUCAUAGACAUAUAGCUGAAUAAAUUUAGGUGAAGUUCCAUCUUGAGGAAGUAAGGAGCCAAUCCGGUGAUGGACCUGACCACAGAUCUUGAAAAUAGGGGGCCCACGGCCAUCAUUCAUCAUUCGAUCAAUAUUGGCCCCCAUUGACGUGAAUGAAAAAAGACAAUUGUACUGUCUUAUGUUCUUCAUAAACUUAUUGGAAAUGACACCUCCAUCAAACCGUGCCAAUGAGGCCAAUGGUUCGGGUCGUGGCUGGAACUGUGGUAUAACAACCUUACCGCCUCUACAACAAUUGUUGUACACUACUCUAUGAGAACGCUGGGCUGAAUCGUGGCCAACUCUUUCAGCAUGCCAAAAGACCGCAUGACAGUGUGGGCAUUCAUAGUCUGGUGCUCCGUAGUAAGAUCUUUGUCGAUAUGAAACUGUGUUGAAGGAAUAGAGGACAAAACAAGGAAAGGCAGGUUGUCAUAUGACCAACGACAACCGAGGUAUGCAAAGAACAGGAAGAGCGCAAGAAUUGUAAGGACAUGAACAAGGCCAAAAAGACACAGAAAUUGAAGGAGUGUAUACCUUUGAGAGCAUAAACAAAGGCUUCGUCAAAUUGGCCACAUGUGAGAUGAUUGCUGCUGUGCCAGGGGCCUCCUAUUGUAUUAUGAAGAAAAUGGUCUUACAAAAUUGGCUGUUACAGUACAUAGAAGCAAUGCUAUGCACCAGAUGAUGAACAAAGGAUAAAAUGUGUACGACCUGAAAGGGCGUACAUGACCAACAAUCUUACCUGCCCAAACUAAACGGUGUUGAUCUAAAAGUCUUCUUCUUUUGUGUCUAGAGGUCGUAGGAUCAAAAUCUGAUCUAGCACUGGACGACCUUUGUGUUAGUACAUCAGUGUAAAUAGUGUAAGUACUACCUUUAAAUGUACAAGACAAGGGAACCAAAACGCAUUAACCAGCGUAAGCAGGCUACAUACUGAUCCGUUCACAAGACGGUUCUACAGAUACCGGCACAGCAGUAUGUAUGUGCACUGAGGCUGAAGCUGACAAUUAGUAAUAACACUGUUAAUAGAGACAUAAGAACCAUAGUAACGGAAAGAACGCAUAGUACAACAUUUGCGGGAGAUUACAUACAGCUCCCUGCAUGGUCUAAGGCUACAUAGUCUGCCGCAAAGGUGGUGGCGUUCACCGAUGCAGAGCCUGUUAGAUUAAAAUAUAGACAAUUAACAUACAUAAACAAAGGAAAACACAAUGGAAACCAACGCUGCUCUAUUACAAUGAGCCUAGAUGAUACGUACAAACGCGAGGAGUGUCCAUCGAGCCCUGAAUAUUCAGCAACAAACAGCACAACAGAAGUGAACAAACUAUCCAUACAUUGGACAGAAAUAAACCAACUAUCCAUACAUUCGAAAAUACAGACGAAACCCAAAAAAACUUUUUACAAAGAAAGAAGCAUCGACCACUGUACAGGCCAUCGCCACAAUUCCAAAUAGCAAACAAAAUAGACAAGGUCCUUGUAAAAGAAUAACAACUACAAAAAAAAUCCUUCGCUAUGUUUCUUGGUCAAAUAUUUGUACGUACUGUGAACAGGCGUAAGCCACAUAACUAUAUACAUUUGUUCGUAAAAUAGCACAUGGCAUCCAAGGUGCGGAUGAAAUAAAAGGACAAAUGUAAUGAACUCAGAAUGUGCAGAAUAUAGGACAUGACUGAGAAUUCAAUAGAGUACAUGCACAGAUAUACAGCAAAAACAUGGAAGACACAAACAUUUUAUUGCUGAAAACAGGUAGCAUACAAAUUGGAAGCAGCACUGGGCAUAGCACUGAGCCCAUGCACCAACUGCUGUGCAGAACCCAACAAGGCGGAGUCAUAUCGAACUCCCUGGUUUGAACUGUUUAUUACAAGCCUAGCCAAUUCAACACCUCUAUUAGCUACAGGAAGUAGAUACUGGGCUAGAGCUCUAUACAACAUCAACCCAUGCGCACUGUAGUCCAAGAUAACAAAGCCAAAUCUAUCUUGCAAAGCUACAAGCGCUUGCAGAGCAGCUGCCUCAUAAGCCACUGAGCGCUCCAGACCACAAUUUGCCCAGAAGAAAAGCCUGUGUGAGUUGAGUUCACAACCUAAACCAGGUAACUCCACCUCAAUCCCAUACAAGGAAGUACCGUCGUCAAGAAUUUGAUGUAUAGUAGAUAUGUAAGGAAGGCAGCAACAAUUUGCAACGCGCUGAAGAACAGCGACGUAGGAGAUAUGUACGUCAAACAUUCUGAACCGAAAAUGGACCUGCCUUUUUGCAAUAGAAAGCAGCAAGCGCCCCCUUGCACCACGCCUACUAAGAAAGGAACAUCAAGAAAAACAAAGGCUGGCACAAUUUUGACAAACAAAGAAGAAUGAACGGCCUAGAUCCUUGGAAGUAGUUUUUAGGGAGAAAAGAGAAGGAAAAAAUCUGAAAACUCUCCGAACCACCUCUAUCGGAUUUUAGAAUCUUAAAAAAACUAAUACGAUGCUAAUAUUUUUUGUUUGGGCCAUGGGAGAGGCCAAAAAGGGGAAAACCCCCCCAAAAAAAAGACGUAAGCAAAACCAAACAACAAUAUUAGUCACACAGCAUAUAGGGUUAACCCAGAGUAAAAUAGCAACAAAAAAAUCUAAAUCUAAAACAUAGGGGGAAAUAUAUACCUGAACUGAACAAGACAAUAGAGAACGACAAGAACUAUGGUUGAGUCCCAGUUGGAGCCAAUGUGUAAACAGGCGGACACCGCGAAUACAAAACCUGCAAUAAGAAAAAAAAAAUGUGAACCAAUGGAAAGCAUUAGAAUGCAUAAGCAGAAAGACACCAAAGGUAAACGUAGAGUAACUAAAACUAACCCCGCUAACAACGAAAAGAAACGGAAGAACAAUGGACGGAGCAGGCUCAAAUCCACCGACAAAGGACGAACGGAAUCGAAAGAAUGUAAAAACAAGAUAAGAGUCUUACAAGGCAGAGGAGGGAAAACAAAGGCACAACGACAGCCCCAAACAGAUUGGGUGGACGUCGCAGACAACCGGCGCCGACCCCCGGCGGGCACACGCAGCGAGGACGAAGCGGCCGCGCACAGCCGUACCAGGCGCGUGCAGCGAGGACGGAGCGAUGGCGGCAGAAAACCGGCGCGGACCUCCGGCGACCAGACGCAGCGACAACGAAGCGGCGGCGCACACCCCUGGCGACGCCUGCAGCGAACACGGAUCGCUGAAUUCGAGGUGACCCAACGGUGCGGACACCCGGCGGGGUCCCCCGCCGGGCGCGCGCAGGACGAACCGAGCGCUGGAACCGGGCGGCGGGCGUGGAAUACAAAGAGCAGGGAGGAGCGGCGGGCAACCCGGCGAGACGCACGAGAAUAAGCAGGAAGCGGCGACGCGGAAGAAUACGGACGGAGGAAACCAGGAAAAGUACCGUGGCAACAAGCUGCUUUGACGAAAAUGACCCCGGUAGGUGUCCCAACAAUUAAAGCGACGGGGAAGUGGGCUUCGACAAGAAACGACGGUUACGCAGAAGCUAAAGAAGCGGGACCAAAACCUGAAUCAGCAAAGGAAUCAACCAGAAGCCAAACAGUAAUGUAGAAUCGGAUAUAAGCAGAAGGAUACGGAGAAAGCUGGAGCCGUCGGUAGAAAAGAUCCAACGACCGGAGUUUUAAAGACAGACGUGGAUAGCGCUUCUAAUCUAGGAGCCAACGUAGUUUGUAGAGUUAAAUACAUGUCCACUUUCGCUAUUGCUGAUCAUCAAGGGAACUUAAGAUCGCUUUAAAAGGCGAGAUAAGUCAAUCAAGAAUUAAGUGUCCUCACUCCUCACCUUAAAAAAGUGAUUAUAUGACAUCCCAAGAGCUCUACACACACUGAUCUUUGUCUUCAAAAGUCAUAUUUUGCAUUUGAAGCCUACUACUAUAAAGGUUGUCAAAGAGUUGCAGUCUCAAAACCAAGAAAGGAAAAAGAUAAGGAAUCGUCAUGUGAAACGGGGUGAAGUACACGAACUAAAUAUUCUCGAGAUCACAGAUAUAAAUCGAAACUUGCCCCCCUUCAUCCUCUUGAGGGGACAACAUGGUCGGACUACUCACCCCUAUCGUUGGCCCUCUCAGAGCAGGUACAAUAAGCCAUGUCAGUUUGGCUAAUAGCCAAGACAACUCAGCAAAGUCUGAUGUAGAAGAGAGAGAAAAUAGGAGAGAGAGGGUGAUGGUCGACGCAUUUGUCGACCAGCUCGUCACAAGCUCCAAGGCUGCAUGCGAGGGUUGCAUGUGUGGUCCUGUCCUACUUGCCAAUGAGAGCAUAGAUGGAGGGAGGUAGUGGCGGGUCCCACACUAUUAAAAUAGUUUUGGAAUAUGUAAAGAGCCAUGGUUGUUGUAUAUAUUGUCUACAAAAACUAGUUUACACAUGAUAUGGCUUGGCUAUUAGACAAGCUUAUUGGCCUUGCUCUCAUACCUCUCUCCCCCCCACCUUGUCGUCACUAGAGCAGAUUGUCGGAUGUCCGCGCGACUGCCACGAAGAAGGUGGUAGGACCACAGGAGGGGGUCUACUUCAAGUUGAGGAUGGUGCGACCAGAUCUGUCUCGAGCAGCCAAGCAACUCCGAUGACGAUGACAUGACCCGCAUCGAUGGCUGUGGCAUCCACACCGGGCUCGAUCGCAUGGCAGCAUGCAUGGGUCAAAGAGGAGUAGACGGAUUUGGCGCAUGCGACCAAGCAGGCCAACCCCGAUGACAAUGUAGAGGGACAACAGCCAAGCUAUUUGUUGUGAGGAGCGGGUGACCUAUUGUCGGAGUGGGGAACCUACAUCACCCCACACAUUGCCAUCGCCAACCCCUUUGGCUACUCCUGCAUGCCUCACCGCCAUCAGAGCCGGUGGCUGGAGCAAGGAUGGCGCCGGUGGAUAUUAGGAAAAGUAAUAUAACAAACCACAAUUAAAUAUAUAUUAUGGGUAUUGCGUGAAAAAAUAAUGAUAGGUUCUGAGCGAACAAUCAUAUAUAUUAUAGAAUAUAUAGCAGGGAUAUUACAUGAAAACAUAAAUGUGAUAAGUACUACGUGAACAAUUAAAAAUAUAUCAUAGAAUAUAGCAAGGGUGCCAUUUAUAUACUAAGUAAACAACCGGGAAAAAAGAAAUCCUUAUAAUGGGCCGAAAUAUGUGUGUGAAUGGGCCUUCUUCAUCCGGUCAGACCAAAUAUAGAAGCAAAAUAAUUAAGGAAAAAGUCCACUUUAGGUCCCUCAACUUUCACGAAAGUCUGAUUUUCAUCCUUGAACUCUAAAACCGGAUAAAAUACAUCCUUCAACUUUUAAAUCCGUGCACAUUACAUCCCUGACCUGGUUUUAAAAGCGGUUUUGUCUUUCUCUUUUUAUUUAUUUUGGCUAAUUUUUUUGAAAAAUCAUAGUAAAUCAUAUAAAAAUCAUAAAAUAGAAAACUCAAUUUUGUUGGACUUCAGAUGAGUACAUCUACACAUUGAGUAUAUAAUAUAGUAUGUUUUAGUACAAAUUUUUUUUUAUGCAUCUUUAGAUUUAUGCUUUUCUAUAAUUAAUUAGACUAAUUAUAGCUAUAGUUUCUAUGGUCCAAUUGUGAUGAAAAUUAUAUAGUGGGCUAAUUAUUCUAUGAUUGAGUUGUAGUAAAAAUUUCAUACUCAUUAGAUCAUGUAUUACUUAGUUAUAGAUUUAUUCAAGUUUAUGCUUGUUAAAUCUUAAUAAACCUAUAACUAAGUUAUACAUGAUCUAAUGAGUAUGAAAUUUUUACCAUAGUUUAAACAUAUAAUAAUUAGCACAACAUUAAAAAAAUUCACCACAAUUGGGCCAUACAACAUAUAGCUAUGAAUUAUUCGAAUUAAUUAUAGAAAAACAUAGAUCUAAAGGUACAACAAAAAAGUUGUACUAAAGCAUACCAUAUAAUAUGUUCACUGUGUAGAUCUACUUAGCUGGAGUCCAACAAAAUCAUAUUUACUAUUUUAUGAAUUUUAUGUGAUUUACUAUAAUUUUACAAAUAUUCAACAGAAAUAAAUAAAAAUGAAAAAGACAAAACUGCCUUCAAAACCGCUCAUAACCAUGUCAGAGACGUAAUAUGCAUGGUUUUAAAAGUUAAGAGAUGUAUUUUAUCCGAUUUUGAAGUUCAGGGAUGAAAAGUAGACUUUUGCGAAAGUUGAGCGACAUAAAGUGGACUUCUUCCAAUAAUUAACUUGGACCAAAUACAGUUGCCUGGGCCACACCAACAAGAAAAGCACGCCUGACUGGAAGAUUGCCGCAGACUUUUUUUUUUGCCUCGUUCAUCCUUUUUCAUAUGGACAGAUAUUACAUCUUUCUAAAAAAAAUAUAUAUCUAUAUCUAUACCUACUAAUAAAUUGUGAAAAUUUCAAUCUGCCCUAAACUUUUCUUCUGCUCCCGUCUCGGCCAGAAUCCGUCUCUCCGUCCGUUUAAGGCUUGUAGGAGAGAAAAAAAAAUAGAAUAUUUUCUAGGUUCCCAAUGCAAAUCCAUUCCGCUAGCCUCUGCCGUCCGCUCUUAAAAGAGCACAAAGAAAAUAAAUUUCUUUCAUCCUAUAUCCUAUUAAUUUUCUUUUCUUUUAUUCUUUAAUUUGGCUAAAAAUUAAUAAAUGCAUAGUAAUUCAUAGAAAAUCUAAAAAUUACAAAACAAAUUUUGUUCAGCUCGACAUAUAUAGAUUCAUGCAGUAAACAAAAAAUACGUGCAAAGUGUUUGUCCUAUUAAUUUACCUUUUCUUUUAUUCUUUAUAUCAGCUGAAAAUUAAUAAAUGCGUAGAAAUUCAUAAAAAAAUCUAAAAAUUACAAAACAAAAUUUGUUCAGCUCCACAUAUGUAGAUCUAUGUAAUAAACAAAAAAAUUAGAAAUUUUAGUAUAUUUUUUUGCUAGAGAUGCAUGCCUAUGCUUUUUAGUGUAAAAUUUAAAUUGUACUCCCUCCAUCCCAAAUUGUAAGUCAUUCCAAGAAUCUUGGAGAGUCAAACUUUUCAAAGUUUUACCAAAUUUAUAUGAUAAAAUAAUUAUUAUUAUGAUACCAACUAAAUAUCAUUAGAUUCUUCCUUAAUUAUAUUUUUAUAGUAUACUCAUUUUACGUUAUAAAUUUUAGUAUUUCACUCUAUAAUUUUGGUCAAACGUGAAAAUACUUUGACUCUCCAAGAUUUUUGGAAUGACUUACAAUUUGGGAUGGAGGGAGUAGUUAUCUUGCUCCAAUUUGGGAUGGAGGGAGUAGUUAUCCUGCAUAUCUCACUGAUUUACUAAUUUAUCUAAAAUUAUGUUUGCUAAAUAGUUUAGCAUCAAUUUAAGUGUGUAAAAAUAUAAAAUAGAAACUUCUACUAUCUUGGCACGAUUUGUUGUUAUAUCAUAUGAACACUUCAUAAUUAAGCCUAUGUAUUUAUAAUCUACAUACAUUUAACUGAUAUAUCAUAUUUUAUAGGAAUCCUAAUCUAAAUAAAAAAAUAAAGCUAGCAACAAACUUCUCAUGUUUUAAUAUAAUACUAUUUUUAUUAUUAAAUAAAUAUGUCUCCAAGCUACAUAAUACUGUAAAUAUUAACUAUCUCAUACCAUAGAUGUCAUGGUUAUCAAUAAAAUAAAUUAUGGACUUUAAAUUUCAUAAAAAAGAUAAAUAUAAAUAGAUAUGUAAUAUUAUGUCCUUAUUUUUAUGACCAUUUGAUGUUUUUUUCUCGUUGCAACGCACGGGCAUAUUUGCUAGUAUAUGCACAAAUUGCAACCAGUUUGUCCUUUGACAAAUUCAAUCAAUAAUUAAAGUCAACUACCGCUACUGUGGUAUUAUGAGCUAGUGUCGUCGUCCUAAAGGGAUCCUGAACCUUAUAUGCACUGUCACUCUUGUGGUUAACACACAUGAAGCGUGUCUGAACUCUGAAUGUGGGUUCAGCUUCUUUUCGUAUGGUAGACAGUGAAGGUGCCGAGACUGCCUAAUGUGGGUUCUGCCCAUGCUCAACUGAAUGCUGCACUGCACAAUGGUGAAUGUACACAAGGGAAAGGGUGUCGUAUAUAUGUAUGCUCGUCGUUGGCAAAGUAUCUUAUUAUCUGCUGCUCGAGUUCAGCCUAUUCGCUUGAGCUUAUCAUCUGAAUCUGUCAGCUAUUCAGCAGUGUUUUUCUUUUACAAUAAAUUAUUCAAUAGUACUUACUGUCAAUUAUCAGCCAAGCAGUGUUAAGUAAGGCUUGAACAUUUUGCUCAUGCAUGACAAAUAAAGGAAUGCCUGACAGUUGGAUUAGUUGUUACAGUGUUAAGUAAGGCCCUGCUGCACACCGUCCCAGCUCCAGUUGACGCCUUCUCAAGGUGUGUAAAGCGGGAUGACAUUGAUCGUCUAGAAGAGGUAUGUAAAGCGGGAUGACAUUGAAAGAGAAAGAAAUAGGCAAGAGAAAUAUGAUGGAUGUCGGGUAAUUAAGAGACGGUCUGACAGAAUGAGAAAAUUCUCUUAUAGACAGCAUCUUUUAUUACAGAGAUAUCGUCUACUCCUUCCGUUCCAAUUACUAAGAUAUCGUCUCUCCUUCCGUUCCAAUAUACAUCUAAAUAUAAUCAUGUAUAGCAAAAUAGAUGUACUAAAAAAAGUCAAAACGACUUAAAAUUUACAACAUAGAGAGUAUUAUGCAAUAUCUUGUCUACUCUUUUUGUAGAGACCGGAUAUUAGUUUAUCCAUUAUCUAAAAAAAAUAUCUUGUCUACUCUUUUGCCCAUCCCAAAAUAAAUGCACAUGUCACAUCUCGAGCAGUCAAUCAAUCUUAAAUUUGACCAAACAUAUACAAAAUAUACUAAUAAUAUUCAUGAAAUCAAAUAACUAUUAUUAGAUUAUUAAUCACAUCAUAUGUUCUUAUAGUAAAUCUAUUUAGGAUACUAAUGUUAUUUAGAGAUGCAUUGCCUUAUUUUGGGAUGUAGGAAGUAUUAUAUAUACUUGUCUACGAGACUACGACUAACAUAGACGUAUUUUAGAGACAGCAGCUGUUACACGCAUGCCCUCAACAGCUAAGCUGCUAAUCGAUCCUUUGCUUAGCCCUUGUUUAGUUCCACUCAAAAUCCAAAGACUUUUCAAGAUUUUCUGUCAUAUCGAAUCUUACGGCACAUACAUAGAGCAUUAAGGCCUUGUUUAGUUCGCAAAAAUUUUCAAGAUUCUUCGUCACAUCGAAUCUUUGGUCGUAUGCAUGGAGCAUUAAAUAAAGACAAAAAUAAAAAUUAAUUACACAGUUUACCUGAAAUUUGUGAGAUGAAUCUUUUGAGCCUAGUUACUCCGUGAUUGGAUAAUGUUUGUCAAAUAAAAACAAAAGUGCUACAGUAGCCAAAAAACCAAAAUUUUGCGAACUAAACAAGGCCUAAAUAUAUAUAAAUAAAAAAUAACUAAUUAUAUAACUUAUAAUUUGCGAGACAAAUUGUUUAAGCUUAGUUAUUUUAUAGUUAUAUAAUAGUUAUUAAAUACAAACGAAAGAGUUACGGUAUCUAAAUGAAAAAAAAUCUAAACAAGACCUUGUUGUCCGGCAAGUGGCCCGGCCAAUCCACUUGCCAUCAUAUUUCCAGGGCCAUUUCGUGUUUUGGUGCCCAUUUAAUAAUAAUAAUUAUAUAUAUUUGAUAUAUUGAUUGAUGAAAGAUUGAAAGGGAGGAAUUAUGAUUUUAGGGUGAUUAUUGCAUUGGGUCAUGGGUAUCACUGCAUUGAGGCUGAUGAUGUUGAAAGAUUGACAAGGACAUGCAAUUUCUCCCUCAGUCAUGACACAAGUGGGGGUUGUGUCUAUUUUGAGUGUGUUUGAUAGGCUUGCAAACCUGACUUUUUGCUUGAGUGGGCUAGGUUUGAGUUGUUUGAUUGCCUGGCCAGCCUCUAGAGCCAGCUCUAUCUAACCUGCCGUACAGUCAGGGCCAAGCCCGAGUAGAACGUUGUUGUUUCUUCUCGAGUGAUUCAUUCACGUCACCUUCCAGUCUUCACUCCCAUUCUCUUCCGCUGCAGUCCUCUCCGCCGACGGUGUUCCUCUGCUCAUCCUCCCCGCCAGUGGUGGUCCUCUGCUUGUCCCCGUCAAUCUCCGCUAUAGAUCAAGCCAUGUUGACCAAGGGAAAGCUCGGGGCUGUGGCUGCUAUGGAGGCUCUGGCAGUGCAUCUCUUCCUAUGCUGCAAAGUCGGCUGUGUGCGCCCCCGUUCGCGACGCCCACACCAGUGGCGGGGCAUAGCCACAGAGGCGGCACCGGCCACUGGCAGUGCAACGGGAGUUCUGGCACAUGGAGUCCGCACCACCUGCAGAUCCACACAUCACUCACCGUGCACCAGGCGAAGCUCUGGCACUCAUGUCGUCCGUGGUCGCCGAGCGGGACAAGCUUUGGCGUCACCACCACUCCCUCGUACGUGCUGCUCCUCCACCACCAGGCUGCUGCAAGUCCGAGCCUUGAUGCUACUAGCGUCUUGUGCGGGCAAGAGGAGGAUGCUCUGUUACUACUGCUGCCACAGUCAUCAUGAAGAACACAACCAAAGUUGAUUCAGUUUCGUCAGUUAGCUCGUUUCAGGCUCUUGAUUUAGUUAGCUCGACUGAAACAACCAUCUUCUGCCAUCUCUAUCUUCCGACCCAGUUAGCAAAAAUCUAAACCAAUUGCACUAUAUUGUAGAGCUACAUGAAUGCUGCAACAUUGCUUAAAGGUUCAAAGUCUAACUUAGAUCAGAGUGGUAGGUAGAGAGCUCUAAAGUUGGGUAUUCGCAAACUGAAAUUGACAUUCAGUAAAUUCAGUACAGACAAAAGGUAACCUUACCUAUUAUAAAAAUAUGUGACUUUAUCAAAACAAAACAUGCAACCAAACACACUCUAUAGCUAGCCAGACUACUAUAAUACAGACAACCAAACAACUAGAGAUUGGUUUGUUGGGAACAGGCUUAAGUUGCCCAGACUAAAUUUCUAGCCAGGCUAGAAGUUAGCCUCGGAACCAAACACACCCCUUAUUGUAGCAUCCUACGCAAGUUUAAAAUUCACAAUGAAAAAAAAUCAAGCAACUAAGAUAUACGAUAUGUAUCUACCGUAAUCUCCAUGGCGAAAUGGACAGGUGAUAAGGAAAAGUAAAGGUACGACUUGCUAAGAAACACAAAAUAUUAUGAGAAUAAAAACUCAAAGGGUCUAUUCAUUUGUCUAAAAAGUUAUGAUUAGUAUUUCUCAAUUUUUUUGUCCUAGAAUUAUUUCAUAGUAAUGUUAAAAAAUAGAUAGCCUUUUAGGAUGAAAUGCUUGACCAUGUCUGUCUGACAGAAGGGGGCAGGCACCCCACAAGUCAUCGACUGUCCAUCUAUCCACGUAGGAGUAGAUAACUUAGCGUCGAAGUCAACUGCGCCCUUUUAGGCCCUGAUUACACAGUUUAGUUGAGAAUCGCGAGACGAAUCUUUUAAGCCUAGUUACUCUAGAUUAGCCUUAAGUGCUACAGUAACCCACAUAUGCUAAUGACAGAUUAAUUAUGCUUAAUAAAUUUAUCUUUAAGUUUCCUGACGAGUUAUGUAAUUUGUUUUUUUAUUAGUUUCUAAAAAACCCUCCCGACAUCCUUCCGACACAUUCGAUGUGACACCCAAAAAAUUUUCAUUGCCAGUCUAAGGGCCUGUUUAGAUUGGGAACGAAAAUUUUUUCAGUGUCACAUCGGAUAUGUCGGAAGGAUGUCGGGAGAGGUUUUUAGAAACUAAUAAAAAAACAAAUUAAAUAGCUCGUGAGGAAACUGCAAGACAAAUUUAUUAAGCAUAAUUAAUCUGUCAUUAGCAUAUGUGGGUUACUGUAGCACUUAAGGCUAAUCAUGGAGUAACUAGGCUUAAAAGAUUCGUCUCGCGAUUCUUAACUAAACUGUGUAAUUAGUUUAUUUUUUUAUCUACAUUUAAUGUUCUAUGCAUGUGUCCAAAGAUUCGAUGGGAUGGAUGAAAAAAUUUUGGGUAGGGAACUAAACAGGGCCAACAGCCCCUUAUCUGCUUCCACAAAAAUCCCAUCGCCGGCCUGCCAAAUUCAAUUCACACGGCACGGCAUCUUUCCACCAAGAUUUUCCACAAAACACCCUAUAUACAUAAAGAAUCACAGUUCUACCCUUAGCAUCAUUCUUGUUCCAGCAAAAGACCUUAUCUACGCUAUUACCAAUCAACUUCGAGGUCUCUUCUGCACUUUUUUCCCACACAUACAGGACCGAGAAGUCGAGAAGCUAGGGAGGGGGGACACGACGCCACCGAGAGGGAACGCGAGGUCGCCAUCACCAUGGGGGGAGGAGUCAUGCGCACCGCCGCGAAGGUCGGCAUCGCCGGAGGCGCGGCGGCGGCGGCAAAGAGCGGCCGGUUCCGCCACGCCGCACCGGCCUUCGCCACGGCCGCCGCCGCCGCGGGUUCUGAGGCGGCGCCGCUUGUCUCCGCCUCCGGUGGCGAGGCGGUGCCCCCCGCUACGGCGCAGUGGGCGGCGUCCUGGGAGCUGGACGACUGGGAGUUCGCGGACUGGAGGGACGACUCCGCCGCGGCGGCGGUGGUGGUGGCGGAGAGGGAGGCCACGGCAGCGGCCGCGAAGCCCAGGCUGGUCUUCGCGCCGCCGUCGAGGGAGGAGGCCGAGGAGGCCACGAGUGAGCUCAGGGACGCCAUAGAGAGGUGAAAGAUCGCGUCUUUCGCAAUUCCCCUCUGUGGAUUCGUCGAAUUGGAUGGGGAAGGAGAGAAUUUUGUAUUCGUUAUCUCGACUGCUCGAUCUAUUCAUCCUGACAUGUUAGGCUGAAAUAAUUCUUUUUGACGGGAUUUAGGAAGCAUCUGAAUAUCUGAUUAGGCUUUUAUAGGGUUAUAUUAGACGAUGGGAUUCGAUUCCCCAACUGGUGAUAAGAACCCUAGGCCUAACAACGCAAUAGAUUUAUUGGAAAGGAGAAUCCGAUGCUUGCUAUUCAGUUCACUCAAAUUGUCUAGUUGAUGCAGCCUCGUAAGCUAAGAAAGCUUCCUACCAAUUUAGUUGUCGUAUUACAUGUUUCAUCCAUGUGCAUCUUACAUACUCAAGUAUGAAAGUGUGAUGCUCUGAGGUACUUGUACCUUCUCGUACAUGUCUAUUGAUGCCCUCAACAACACUUUGAUGUCAUUACAGUCUGUUGCGUCUGCACCGGAAAUACUUUGCUUCACAUUUGGUUCAUGCAUAUUCACCCUAUCCUCACAAAAUAAUUUGAUACAGGGCCUAUUUCAAUGAGACACCAGUUGAGGUUGUUAAGGAACAGGAUAAAGAGUUUAAUAAGCAGGCAACCGAUGCCAUAAUUCCUUCCAUGCCUGGACAUGUGGUCCAAGCUUUUACAUUGCUGAAAUCAAGCCCGGAGGCUCAGGUUUGUGCAAUGGCCCUUGUAAACAUACUGCACUAUGCCUGAGGCACGUUCGAGAAAGAAAAAAUAAACAUACUGCACUACUAAUUUGGGGAAAUCAAUUAUUUGUCACCCUUAGAUGCCAUUCCAAGGGGGAAAUCGUUUGUCACAUACGUCACCUUCAUACAAUGCUACCUAGUUUGUUGAAUUUUAUUAGGAUCAUUAUGUAUUGUGUUGCCAGUGGUUUGGUGUGUUAUCUACCUGCUAUAAUUAUGAAUUUUUAGAAGAAACCCUUUGACAUAUGUUUGUUUAUUGCUCCUGUCUGAUCUUCAAUAGUGAGUUCUGUGGGCAGUCUUUGCUUUUUAGUUACACAGUUAAAUAUGUAGCUGUAUCACGUAGUUUAUCUUAGCUGAUGAUCAUAUAACCGUACAACAAUUGAUGAAAACUGUUUCUUUUGACUCUUGAUCUCUAGAGUGUUGUAGCCUCCCUUGCAUCAGAUAGAAAUGUCUGGGAAGCAGUAUUGAAGAAUGAGAAGGUUAUGGAAUUUUACAAGAAUCACCAGACAAGUAUGUACCUCAGUGAUUCUUUAGCCAAAGUUAUAUGUAUCACAUUCAUCAUUUCUACCAACCUGUAUGACCAUUGUUGUUGUCCUCUGCUAUGACACAGCUCUAGUUGAGACAUUCCCUGAAGAAGCAGCCACAGUAGAGUCGCCGGGGAAUUUUGAAGACGCCACCUCUGAAAAUGCAUCCAACACUGAACUCCCCACUGGCUCACCUUUCUCUGAUUUUGUGGACAAUGCGAAGAAGAGAGUGAUGGAUGUGAUCUAUAAUAUAACCGACUUUUUCAAGGACUUGUUCGACUCAGCGGGAGCACAGGACGGAGCAGGCCCUUCAGCUGAGAAGGGUCCUUCUGCAGCAGAGAUGGCUCUCGGCGGAUCGUUCAUGGCUCUGGCCAUAGGGGUCAUCCUAGUUGUCCUGCUCAAGAGGGCAUGAUAGCUCAUGAGUACCCUCUGGGACUCAUGGUACUUCAAAUCUGUCGAAAAUUACUUGUCUAUCGUAUGGUCAAGAACUCUGAAUGUAUUGUACAGCUUGUGUCCUUGUCCUUGGAAACAGUACAAUAAAAGACUAUCUAUGCUAUAGUAUUUUGUGUGUAUCUUGGUUUUCUGAACCUCUGAUGUGCAGACACCGUAAGAGCCAAAUGUUGUGCUUGAUUAUUACAUUUGCAAAUUACAGUAUAGUAACAUGACAAAGGUCGUCAUUUGUUUGACCUGAACUGAACAUCUUGUCAUGAGUAUAGGUCUUGUUUAGUUCCCAAAAAAUUUUGCAAAAUUUUUCAGAUUUUCCGUCACAUCGAAUCUUUAGACACAUGCAUAAAGUAUUAAAUAUAGACAAAAAUAAAAACUAAUUGUACAGUUUGGUCGAAAUUGACGAGACGAAUCUUUUGAGCCUAGUAGUCUAUGAUUGGAUAAUAUUUGUCAAAUACAAACGAAAAAGCUACGGUGUCGAUUUUGCAAAAUAUUUUAGAACUAAACAAAGGCCAUGCUGAAUGGGUAGAAAAAAAAUGAAAAUGCAAAAAUAGUCUGUCAGACAACCUCUGAGCCACCCUAACCAGGACAGGCCUAGCAGGAACGAUCCUCCACAGCCGUCAGAUGGCACCUUCCGGAGCAUCCUAGCCGUCAAUCACGCUCUGGCCCAGAGGUUCUGGAUCAUCAACCAGACUUAGUGCUUGCCUCCUUGUUGGUAAAGGAUGCAGUGGUACGAUCCUAUAGAACAGAUCCUGUUCAAGUAAGGUCGUGCCGCAUCGUACCUGGACCGAGCUUAUAACUUGUGCUUGCUCUUUGCAGAUAAACGAGGUGGUACUAAAGCUCAGCGCAGGCUCUCACACUCUGCUAAUUAGCUGAUCACCUCUCUCUAGCUGGAGGAGUCAGUGACAACGGCCCAGUGAUUCCGGUAUAGGGAGAGCAGGCCCAUUAUCCCACUUGGAAUGCAGCUGACCAGUGACCAGUGAGUCAGUGACUUGGAAUGCAGCUGACCAGUGACCAGUGAGUCAGUGACUAUUCGUUUCUGCAGUUGCUCAGCCGGAGUUGACAAUUCCCCUAGACACUUGAUUCUUAAUGGCCUCAUCAGCUACAGCUGUGCCCGUCAACCACCUUACAAUUGCGUCCAAACUCCAAAACAAAACAUAUGGGACGUUCAUAAACUUCGAGUAAAUAGAAGACAUAAUAAAAUGCGUGCGCACAAGCAUAUUUUGUGAAUUCCCUAAAAAGAAGUAUAUUUUGCGAGUGCAUCUUUGAAGCUGACGAGCAACCGCUCCAACUAUUGUUCAUUCAUUCCUCCAAAAUUGCAUUACGAGUCCAUACAUUUAAUUUUGUGAAGUUAUACAACAGAUACAGAUUGGAGAAAUAAAUAACUUGUGAACAGUGAGACACUAAAGUUACAAUUUUCUUUCACGCUAUGUGGGGGCAUAGGAUCGGCAAAGCUGUUAGCAAGCUCUAUAAUAAGGGUAGACGACUUCUGCUUAUAUCCCAAGAAACUCAAUGUCACCCUCGGUGAGGAACAUCUUCCCUUUGUUUGUGUUGUUCGCUCUCUGUUGGGUAGACGGUUGCCCUCGCUACAAAAGGAGAAAGUGUUACCAAUCCGUCUAUCUAAAUGUUAGCAGAACGGGAAAUUGUGAAUUGCACAGUACCUUCCGAAGGACAAAUGCGAGAUAAAGAUAGGAAACCUCCCACUCAUCCUGUGACAGUGUACCUGUAAUUUACGUUUUUACUGUUAUAAGAUGGGGGAAAACAGUCAGCAUUCAAGGGUAGCCAAUCUCCAAGAUUCGGUGUGAAAUUACUUUGGUCCUGCCUUCCAUCACCAAGGGCACCCAGCCUCCGUAUCAGUUCAGUAAACUCUGGCUUUUGCAAAUACUCAUGCACAAAUUCGUGGAAGUUCUUCGUCAAAACCAGCUCAAGAUCAUACUGCAAGGCAUCAAAAACAAUGUGUAGUAACUAGUAACUUCUGUCUGUUGAGGCAAAGGCAGCACUUGGUCACUGUCGAAGCAAGAGAACAAAAAAAUACCUCCUCUGCGAGUAGCUUGAAGAGAUGGAAUGGAACAACCCAUUCUGGGCAAUCAACAGCAUCCUGCAUGUUGCAGAAGAGAUUUAUUAUAGCAUUUCUUUUUAAUUAAUGAUUUACAAACACAAAAGGAACUCAAAAGGAACUCUAAAGGAAGGCAGAGAAACUAGUGUCAAGAUUAAUUACCCUUUCAGAGCAUAUUCAACUAAAAGGAACACUAUGCAUAAAUUAAUGAAAAACUGUCCCACUGUUACCUCUAGGUGAAACUUGUACUUGAUACCAAAAGGUCUGGAUGCAGGGAAUUUCUACAGCAUCAUCAAAUCAAAACGACUGGAUCAGUAACUAACAAAAGGAAGGAAGAUGUUAUAAAAUAACGGAGCAGAAUUUACCUUUUCAGCAUACUCUUCACCAAAGCUAAUCCAGUAAACACUGUUCCCAAAUUCCAAACCUUCAGCUGAGCAUAGCAAAAGAGUUUUAUACUAUCAGACAGCUUACAGCAAGAGCAAGUACAGUGUGACAAAGUUAGCCAACAUAAGCUCCAGAUGGUCGCUUUCAGACAUACAUUCUCGAAGCCUUUUGAUAAUGACGUUCGCAUCAGGCAUCGUCCCAAUAAAAAUGCCUCCAGGACGAAGCAAUGCAGACACAUUUGCCAAGGCUUGUCUGGCACGUGCUUCAGUUGACCACGAAUAAUGUAAAGCAAACUGAAAUUGUAGAGCGGGAGUAAUUCAAAAUAGAGUUUGUAUGAUCGAAGAGAAUUCCUUGUACCGACAACAGCAAAGCUCUUUAUAACCUUACUCAACUAAUCAACUAUUAUUUAUAAGUUUUACAAGAUUUCACAAUAAAUAAGCAAUUAAAAGAAUAUUUUAGUCAUCGUAGUAAAGUAGUAACUUUUCUUUCAUUGUGCAAAAUGAUGAUACUAAAUACUGAACCAUCUUCUUAUUGAAAAAUAUUUGCAUGGUAGCUGUCUGUCAUGAAUGCAUUCAUGGCUUGUGGAUUUAGAGAAGCUUCGACAAAUAAAAAAGUGCACUGACAAUUAGGUAAGGAUAAAGUUGAACCCACACAACAAAAUGGAGAAAUGAAAAAUCAAUGGCUAAAAGUAGAAAGCGAGAUGCCUCACCUGACAGCUACAUAUGUCAAAAGGAGCAUCCUCAUAUAGAUACUCAUCCAAACGAGCCUAUGGAAGAAUGACAAGAAAAUAAAUUGGUCUGUUUGUACUUCAAUCUCUUUAAACUUAAUAACCAUAAGAAGAAAGUCACAGGCAACGAAUUAUGAGGUACACUAUAUUCUGCCUAACAUACGAAGAAAGUCACAGGCAACGAAUUAUGAGGUACACUAUAUUCUGCCUAACAAUGUGAAAGAAAAAGGCUGUAUCACAUUUUCAGUAAAAAAAAGUAUAAACAAGCCCAAAAGUGUUUUAUGCAAGGCGCAUGCUUGCAUAGAAUUUGACAUAAUUACAGAAAUAAUCAGCUGUUUUAAACAGCCUGUGGUUAUAUGCCUGGUAACAUGUUCAGUCUAUUAGUGGGUUUUGCAUGCGCAAAAAAGGCAAACCAUCAAAGUUAGUCAUGGGCAACCAAUUAGCAUUUUUCUCUCUUUUAUUUACCUCAUAACAAUCUGUGCAAAGAAGUCGUGCAGGGAAACUGAACUUCUUCCUCCGUUGUUGAUCUGUGUCACCAUUGUAGCGGGUCAUGCAAUCUUUUAUCUGAAAGUUUAAGGCCAUCAUAUGCCCAUGCUCCAAAAGUGGUGCAGAUACAUCAAAAUAUAUUGCACAUAAGAUGAGAUUACAACAGAAAGUGUUGAGUCUGUUGGUUUGUAAAUUGAGACCUCUAAGAGGCAUGAAACAUAAACACACAAGAGCACAAAAAGAAAGAAAAUAUCAAUGUUCAGAGGGCCAUCAACUACUCCUGGUUUAGCUGAAGAUACAUAUAAUACACAAAAUGUCUCUGAAGAUGGGUUAGCUGAAGAUACAUAUAAUACACAACUACUCCUGGUUUACUUGUAAUAAACAUAGAAUAAAUGUCUUGGUGCGAUAAGAAACUAACCGAGCCUUCAGCAAUAUCAACUCCCACGUAGUAGCCAACCUUGGCUUUAUCCCACUUUAUCAAAUCACCUCCCUACAUUACAAAACAGAGCAGCAUAGGUCAAUGGUUAACGCCAACUUCAAGCACGAGAAGCAGAGCUAUUUCUACUGACUACUUAACCGCCGCAGCUGGCCACUUACCUUCCCGCAAGCAAGAUCAAGCACACAGUGGCCCGGGCGUGCAUACAGCUGGAUCAGAACACUCUUUAUCUGCCGAGACACACACACAGAUUGAACGACGGUUACUCGGCUAGCACGGUAAUGGCUGGAUGUAACACAAACAACAGGGGUUCCUCAUUCCAUCAAGGAAUCAAACAGGGAUGGAGUGUGUGUGGUAGGGCGGUUAAAUUGAACUGAGGAUCUGAGACACACCCAGUUGUUGAGCUUCUUGAGGUGGAUGAUGGGGCUGCUCUCGCGCUCCUCCAGCGUCUGGUUGGACCGCGCGCUGUAGUGGUCCGCCACCCGCUGCGCGCUGCUCCGCUCCUCCGAGUACCCCUGCUGCUCGCCAUACCCGCCGCCUGCCACCCAAAGCCCUCAACCUCUAGUUAUUCCGCCUCGCCUCACCUCGGCCACGACGCCGGCCCGGGCGACUGGUGGGGACAGGAAGGAGGGGACGACGCGACGGGAGGAGUACCUGCGCCGUACUGGCGCUUGGGCGCGGAGGCGAAGGAGGAGGGAUCGACGCGGGGCCGCUUGCUCAUUCGGCCGCCGCAGACGACGACAACGACGCAGAGCUUUUCCCCGGUGGCUCGAAUUGGGUAGAGGCGUACACUCGGAGCGGUUGGGUACAGGCUGCGAACUUUCAAUUGGGUUUGGGUACGUCAGGCGGCGGCGCCAGGCACAGGCAGGCUUUGGGUCGGUAACUCCACUGCUGAUUCAAAAAAAAACUCCACUGCUGAUCACCCUCUCCAAUGGUAUCACUAAGGUCUCGUUUAGUUCCCAAAAAAUUUUGCAAAAUAUUUCAGACUCUCCGUCACAUCGAAUCUUUAGACGCAUGUAUGGAGUAUUAAAUAUAGACGAAAAUAAAAACUAAUUGCACAGUUUGAUCGGAAUUGACGAGGCGAAUCUUUUAAGCCUAGUUAGUCCAUGAUUGGACAAUAUUUAUCAAAUACAAACGAAAAUGCUACAGUACCUAUUUUGUAAAAUUUUUUGCAACUAAACAAGGCCUAAAAAUGUUUUUUCUGCGAUGAACUUACGCCUUCUUUAGUUUGAAAAAUUUUCAAGAUUUUUCGUCACAUCAAAUCUUUGGUCGCAUGCAUGGAGCAUUAAAUAUAGACGAAAAUAAAAACUAACUGCACAGUUUACCUGUAAUUUAUGAGAUGAAUUUUUUGAGUCUAGUUACUUCGUGAUUGGACAAUGUUUAUCAAAUAAAAACAAAAUACUACAGUAGCCAAAAACAAAAACUUUUGCAAACUAAACAAGGCCUAUCUUUGCUAAAAACAAUGAGCGGCACCGGCGUGAUUGAACUGCUGGUAGGUUGUAUCAGCGGUCAUCGUUCAACUACACGGCGCUGGUGCGGCCAGGAGUAAUCCAGGGUUGCCGCCUAGUAUUGCUGUAGUACUACAGUACAGGGGAUGAUCCAAAAACGGAGUAACAUUUCCCAACGUUCCACCGGUCUUUCUUUAUGUCUUCAUCUAGCUGAAAACUGAGGUCUUGUUUAGAUAAGAUUUUUUUUAUUUUGAUACUAUAGUAUUUUUAUUUUUUAUAAACAUUGUCUAAUUAUGAAAUAACAAGUUUAAAAAAUUAACAAUAAAUUCUCUCUGGAUUGUUUUCAUUAAUUUUGCAAAAAAUGAACUGCUCCUAAAUUAUUAACAAUGAGCGGAAAGUGAAUAAAGGUAAUCUUUGCUAUCUCUCACUCUCUCCAUUCGUCCGUCGGUUCCUCACUAAGUUCGGCGUCUCUUAUUUCCAUCCUUCUUUUUAGGCCUUGUUUAGUUGGCAAAAUUUUGGUUUUUUUGGCUACUGUAGCACUUUCGUUUUUAUUUUACAAACAUUGUCCAAUCACGGAGUAACUAGGCUCAAAAGAUUCAUCUCAUAAAUUUCAGAUAAACUGUGUCAUUAGUUUUUAUUUUUAUUUUUAUUUAAUGCUCCAUGCAUGCGACCAAAGAUUCGAUGUGACGGGGAAUCUUGAAAAUUUUUACGAACUAAACAAGGCCUUAGUUUACAACUGCAAAAUCCUCUUUUGUGCCACGCCAUUCAUGUCAUGCAGACGUGUGGUUCACCCCCUCAUCUUUCGUAAACUCACACCAGGUGUACUCAUUUAAGUUGAGUUAAUCUCUGUCAAUUUUCUAUAUGAGUUUAAUCUUCAUUGCGCUAGUUUUUAUAAUAAUCUUGAAAUUUAUUUGAUUUAAGAUUACACCAAUUCCAACUAAGGGGGUGUUUGGGACUGCUCCACAAACUCCACCAUAGAGCAGCUCCACAAAAAACUGGAGUUUGUGGAGUAUCCCUUUAGGUACUCUCACAACUCCACCCUUUUUUCUCGAACUCAGUGCGUGGAGCUGAAACCGUUUGGCUAAAAAACGUGGAGCAGAGCAGUCCGAAACACCCUCUAAAUUUAUGUGAUCGCGUAAUUUGUGUCCAUACCAAAAAUCAUGCACCGGUUAAUUAAAAAGUGAUCUCGUAAUGAUCUGGAUUAGAUUGUGCUAGUUUUGUUGUGAAUUUGAUCAUGUGUUGAUGUGUGAAAAAGUGAUAUCUGGUUGAAUUGUAAGUGUGAUCACGUACCGGAAAAGAAAACUCGCCUCGCCGGUGGAAAAAAAAUCUGGAAAUAAAAAACAAACUGAAAAUCAUGAAACAAAAAUCGAAAAUGAAAAAGAAUUGGAAACCAUGUGCAGCCACGAUCGAAAAACAGUUUUGUUGGGAAAAAAAUGGAGAACCAAAGAAACUGGAACCAGUAACUGGAAACAGAAAACUAAUCAGAAAAUGGUGGAGAAAAAAAUUCACAUCUUUAAUAUUAAAUACUACAUAUGUGCCCUUGCGUUGCACGGAGGUCACGUAUUUAUCUCCACGGAUGUAGAUGGCUUGCAGUUUAGACGAAGAUAAUAAGAAAUCUACAACUCAAUUACAUUAAAAAUAUGAAGUCCAUAUCAUUAUAUAUCUAAAUAGUUGUGAUUAGUAACAUUGCACACCAGCUGUGGUCCGACGAGCUACCGCUGGUGGUACUUGGUGGGUAGCUAGCGAGUUGGGUUGGCGCGUCAGCAACCUCCCCGAUGCGAGUGGCAAUGGCGGGCGAGAUCCCUUCGCUUAGCUGCCGAGCGGGGGCUUUGAUUUUGGCGGCAGCAUGGUGAUGGUGGUGCACGCGGCCUCGGGAGUGACCAGCCGGAGUCGUUCUCAAAUUAGUAUUUUUGUUUUUCUUUUUUCGUUCACAUACCAGGCCCAUGAAAUUUUCCCACCUACAGCGACCUACGUGGCUUAAGGCUUUUAGAAUUUAGACGAACAAAUUUAAUUAGGUAGACAAUGUAAAUUUGGUUCAAUAGACCCAUUUCAUGAUCUUUAUGACAUGUGUUGUGUAAGGCCUUGUUUAGUUCCUAAAAAAUUUUGCAAACGUUUUUAGAUUUCCCGUCACAUCGAAUCUUACGACACAUGCAUAAAGCAUUAAAUAUAGAUAAAAAAAAUAACUAAUUAUAUACUUUGUCUGUAAUUUGCGAGACGAAUCUUUUGAGCCUAGUUAGUCCAAUAAUGUCCGUUUUAUUAAAAAUUUUGGAACUAAACAAGGCCUAAGAUAAGCAAAUGGAACCUUAGUUUAUAGAAACCUAACAAUAUAAAGCCUAUUUCAUGAUCUUUAUGGCAUACAUCGUGUAUAUUUUGUUUAUAGAAACCUAACAAAAUUAUAUUUUAUUUUUUUAACUUAUACAUAUGACACUUUUUAUCUUUAUAGUUAUUUAUCACUGAAACCAUAUUUUUAUUUCUGUUUCUUACUCCUCACAUCCUUCUCCUUUUUUCCACUGCAAGGGUUUUUUUUUAAUGGGCGCUUCUUUUAACCUAGAUCUUGUUUAGAUCCAAAAACUUUUUGGAUUUUGAUACUGUAAUAUUUUUGUUUGUAUUUAGCAAUUAGGACAGUCUUAAUGGGGUUUGAUCAUAGUUUAAUGGACAUUAAAUAUGCUAAUGUGGCACCAUAUUAAUAAAUAUAGAGGUAAUAAGAGUUUUAUGGAAGUAGACAGAGUUUCAUAGCUCUUCUACAUUGUUUCCAAAAUAUGUAUUGAGUUGGAAACUAUGUCAUGAAACCCCCAUUGAGGAUGGCCUUAUUGUCCAACCAUGGACUAACCAGACUCAAAAGAUUUGCCUCGCAAAAUAUAGACAAAUUAUACAAUUAGUUAUCUUUUAUCUAUAUUUAAUGUUCUAUACAUGUGCCACAAGAUUCGAUGUGAUAAGGAAUCUUAAAAAGUUUUUGGAACUUGAGGUGAACUAAACAAGGCCCUAGAGGUAUUAAUAGAAGUCAAGUACUCAAUCCAUCCUAAAUUAUCAAGACGUUUGACUUUUUUGGCACCAAGUUUGACCACUUGACUUAUUCAAAAAUUUGUGCAAAAUAUCACUCUUUUGUCGUGACUUGGUUUAUUAAUAAAAGUUCUUCAAAAAUAAUUUAAAUUUGAAUAUAUUUGUAUAAAUUUUUUGAGUAAGACGAGUGGUCAAACUUGAGAUAAAAAGUUAAAUGUCUUCUAAGUUGAGAUGGAGGAAGUAGUAAACAGAGUAUGUAGGGAUUAUGGAAACAGAGUCACUUACAUAGGAAGGAAGUCAUGCAUGACGACACAAAGAGCCGAGCGAGGCGAAUUCCUGUGCUACAAUGUCCUAGAGAUGUUUUAUUUAUUAUUAGGGGUAUAGAUUAUUAUUAUAGGUACUAUAUAGAUAUAGAUAUAGAUAUAGAUAUAGAUAUAGAUAUAGAUAUAGAUAUAGAUAUAGAUAUAUUUCAUAGAUAUAGAUAUAGAUAUAGAUAUAGAUAUAGAUAUAGAUAUAGAUAUAGAUAACUUCUUUCAUAUUAUUAUUGUAGGUAUUUAGAUAUAUAUUGAGUCAUACUAGUAUAUUGACAGACAAUGUAAAUUUAGUUUAAUAGACCCAUUUCAUGAUCUUUAUGACAUGUGUUUGAAAGGUCCUAAUAUGGCUAGAGGGGGGGUGAAUAGCCUAUUUAUAAAUUCUACAAACUCACUAGAGCAAGAGGUUAGUAAAUAACAAAGCGAAGCUUUUUGCUCUAGCUCUAAUAGGGUGUUUGCAAGCCACCUAUCCAACAAUUCUAGUUGAUAUAAUCACUAGGCACACAAGAGCUAUGUCACUACUUACACUAGAAAGCUACCUAAAGUUUCUAUACAAGUAAGUAAGCUACUCUAGUUUGCGGGAAUGUAAAAGAGUGGAUGAGAUAAUUAUACCACCGAGUAGGGGAUGAACCAAUCACCAAUAUAAACAACCAAGCACCGGGAGAAUGCCAAUCAAACACAAUUGAGACACCGAUUUUUCUCCCGAGGUUCACGUGCUUGCCGGCACGCUACGUCCCCGUUGUGUCGACCAACACUUGGUGGUUCGGUGGCUAAGAGGUGUAGCACGAAUCUCGUCCUCACUAGGACACCACAAGAACCUACCCACAAGUGAGGUAGCUCAAUGACACGAGCAAUCCACUAAUGUUGCCUUUGGCUCUCCGCCGAGGUAGGCACAAACCUCUCACAAUCACCGGGAGAUGGCCACGAACAAUCACCAACUCGUGCCAAUCCUCCUCCGCUACUCCAAGCCGUCUAGGUGGCGGCAACCACCAAGAGUAACAAGAAAACCGCAGCCAAAUCGAUCCCCAAGUGCCACUAGAUGCAAUCACUCAAGCAAAUGCACUUGGAAUCACUCCCAAUCUCACAAAGAUGUUUAAUCUAUGAAGGAGAUGAGUGGGAGGAGUUUGCUUAGGCUCACAAGGAUGUCAAGUAUGUUAGAAUGCCAAGAGUAUAAGCCCCAAGCCGGCCAAACACGUAUAUAUAGCCCCUCAAACAAAUAGAGCCGUUGGCUCUUUCACUGGGCAAAACUCGGGGUCACCGGACGCUCUUAAAGGGGCACCGGACGCUCAACACCAGCGUCCGGUGCUCCAACGUCAGCCGCGUGUCAGAGCCUAACGGUAACCUGCAGAGCACCGGACGCUGAGCAAGUUAGCACCGGACGCGUCCGAUGCACACCGGACUCAUGCGCAGAGAGUUUCGCAAAUUCGCAGGUUCACCGGACGCACCCUCAGCGUCCGGUGCUCACCGGACCCAUGCGCAGAGAGGGUCGCAAAACGCCCGCACAUCGGACGCGCACCACCGGACGCUCAAGCCAGCGUCCGGUGCCUAUCGUCCGGUGCCUUACCCUAGCUGGGCCAGGCACUGUCUGCACACCGGACGCUCAGACACAGCGUCCGGUGCCUCUAAGCCAGCGUCCGGUGAGUGUUUUCUCAGCGAGAAACACUCCCGCGACUUCACUAAAUUUCCCUCCGGCGCAAUAGAAAAUAUGCACUUCAUUUUCUCGAAAAGCGCCGAAUCCCGCCUCGCAAGCUCGGCGGGAGGGAGAGAGGAACCCAUCCUCUCUCAACCAUUCAAACUUCAACUCCCUUCUCAAAGUGUGCCAACACCACAACGUGUGUACCAACAAAUGCACGUGUGUUAGCAUUUUCACAACCAUUUUCUUCGAAGGAGUUAAGUUAGCUCACUAGGUUCUAAAUGCAUGCACAAGAACAAUAACACCUAGUGGCACUUGAUAACCGCUUAGCCAAAGAAUUCCCCUCUUUAUAGUACGGCUAUCUAUCCUAAAUGUGAUCACACCCUCUAUGGUGUCUUGAUCACCAAAACCAAAACCAAAACCCUAAGCAAUACCUUUGCCUUGAUCUCCAUAGGGUUUUGUUUUUCUCUUUCUUCUUUUCCAAGUUGAGCACUUGAUCAUCUUGUGGUCAUCACCAUCAUCACCAUGAUCAUCACUUGCUCUAUCACUUGGCAUGUACCAACCUCAUUUAGUCUACACACACUUAGCAUAGAGGUUAGUACUAGGGUUUCAUCAAUUAUCCAAAACCAAACUAGGGCUUUCAGUGUUGUGUAGAAAAGUUUGUUCGCUUGUCAAGUCAUGGUUGAAAGUACUAUUUUUUCGGUUUAUUGUGAGAGAAAAAUAUUGUUGGCCAGCAGAAAAAAGGUACGGCUUACAUUAGGCCUUGUUUAGUUGCUAAAAAAAUUUGCAAAAUUUUUCAGAUUUUCCGUCACAUCGAAUCUUACGACACAUGCAUGGAGCAUUAAAUAUAGAUAAAAAAUAACUAAUUACAUAGUUUGCCUGUAAUUUGUGAGAUGAAUCUUUUGAGUCUAGUUAGUCUAUGAUUUGAUAAUAUUUAUUAAAUACAGAUAAAAGUGCUAUAGUGUCUAUUUUACUAAAAAUUUUGAAAUUAAACAAGGCCUAAGACAAAGCAAAUGGAGCCUUAGUUUAUAGAAACCUAACAAUGUAAGCCUAUUUCAUGAUCUUUAUGAUAUAUACCGUGUAGAUUUUGUUUAUAGAAACCUAAUAAAAGUAUUUUUUUUUAUUUUUUUAACUUAUACAUGUAUGACACUUUUUAUCUUUAUAGUUAUUUAUCACUGAAACCGUAUUUGUGUUUCUGUUUCUUACUCACAUCCUUCUCCUUUUUUCCACUCGGAGGGGCUUUUUUUAUUCGGCGCUUCUUCCAACUUAGGAUCUUGUUUAGAUCCAAUUUUUUUUUAGAAAUUGACACUGUAACACUUUUGUUUGCAUUUAGCAAUUAGGAUAGUCUUAAUAGGAUUUUAUUAUAGUUUAGUGAAUAUUAAAUAUGCUAAUGUGACACCAUAUUAAUGAACAGAGAGGUAAUAAGAGUUUUAUGAAAAUAGAGAGAGUUUCAUAGGGAUAAAACUUUUCUACAUUGUUUCCAAAAUAUGUAUGAGUUGGAAACUGUGUCAUGAAACCCUCAUUGAGGAUGGCCUUAUUGUCUAACCAUAGACUAACUAGGUUCAAAAGAUUUGUCUCGCAAAUUAUAAACAAAUUGUGUAAUUAGUUAGUUUUUAUCUAUAUUUAAUGCUCCAUACAUGUGCCACAAGAUUCGAUGUGAUAGAGAAUCUUAAAAAGUUUUUGAAACUUGAGGUGAACUAAACAAGGCUCUAGAGGUUUUAACAGAAGUCAAAUACUCAAUCCAUCCCAAAUUAUCAAUACGUUUGACUUUUUUACACCAAGUUUGACCACUUGUCUUAUUAAAAAAAAUAUGCAAAAUAUCACUUCUUUUGUCGUGACUUGGUUUAUUAAUAAAAGUUCUUCAAAAAUGACUUAAAUUUGAAUAUGUUUGCAUAAAUUUUUUUGAGUAAGACGAGUGGUCAAACUUGAGGUAAAAAAGUCAAAUGUCUUAUAAUUUGAGAUAGAGGAAGUAGUAAACAAAGUUAGAGCCUAUUUGCUUGUCUGAAAAAGUCAUGGAUGAAAGUAUUGUUUGCUGUUUUUUUUAGAGAAAAUACUACUGAUUAGCAGAAAAAUAUAGCUUAUAAGACAAACGAAUAGAUUCUAGUCAUGUAAAGAUAGAGUCACUUGAGCAUCUCCAACAACUUGGUAAAAUUCACUUGUCAAAUCUUGAGUUAUAGCAAGUUGCUAAUUUGUUUAGCAAAAGAAAAAAAGAUGUGUCUCCAAUAAGUUGUUAUUCUCACUUGGUAAAAAUAGAGGAUGACAGAUGGGAUCCGCUCACUUGGUAAAAGAAUAUGUGUCUCCAACAAGUUGCGCUCGGGAUAGCAACUUGGGAUAGCAACUUGACAAAUCUCGGCAGUAGAAACCUCUGGAUAGCAACUUGGAAAAUUUAGCAAGUUGAGAUACGGAGUUUUUGAUGGAGGAUUUUUAUGCUUUUAGCAAAUUUGGUAGGAUAGCAUGUUGAAAUACCAAGUUGUUGAAGAUGCUCUACAUAGGAAGCAAGUCAGCACGACAGACACAAAGAGCCGAGGCAUGCGAUUUCCUAUGCUACAAUGGAUUAUUAUUAUUAUAGGUAUAUAGAUAUAGAUAUAAAUAUAUUUCAUAGAUAUAGAUAUAGAUAUAGAUAUAGAUAUAGAUGACUUCUUUCAUAUUAUUAUUGUAGGUAUUUAGAUAUAGAUUGUGUCAUAUCAGUAUAUUGAUAGAAUGAUAGGUCAUUUAAUUUAAUCGUUACUCGGGUUGUUGGUUGGAACUUGGAAACAGCAAACAGGAGUGGAUCCGGGACGCAAUCUACGGGGUUGCGAGUUGGGAGCCAAAAGGGCAGCGACGGUUCGGAUCGAAUGCCACGGCCCGGGCCCACGGAGGGAGGAGUUGAUUUAUACCGUCUCGUCUGCCUGGCGCUGGCUGCCUUGCCGAACCCUACCACCAAGCAAAUCAUCAGCGAGGCAGCCAUGUCGAACACCAAGAGUCCCCAUCUCCAUCCGCCGCCGCCGGCAGCUGGCUUGUUCCAAGACGACGAGCCGCUGGACCGCCCGACCGCACCGCCGCAGGGCCCGGCAGCCAACGGCGGGCGCGGGCUGGUCCUCAGCACGCAGUGCGAGUUCCCGGCCGUCGGGAGGUUCACCUCCCGGGACAGAUUCGCGGUGCUCGUGCACGCCAAGGCGCCGUCCGACGUGUCCCGCGCGCCGCUCGACCUCGUCACCGUGCUCGACGUCAGCGACAGCAUGAAGGGCGAGAAGCUGGCGCUGCUGAAGCAGGCGAUGUGCUUCGUCAUCGACCAGCUCGGCCCCGCCGAUCGCCUCUCCGUCGUCACCUUCUCUAACGACGCCAGCCGCCUGACCCGCCUCGCCCGCAUGUCGGACGCCGGGAAGGCCUCGGCGAAGAUCGCCGUGGAGUCGCUUGCCGUCCAGGGGUUCACCAACAUCAAGCAGGGCAUCCAUGUGGCAGCCGAGGUGCUCGCCGGCCGCCGGGAGAAGAACGUCGUCGCCGGCAUGAUCCUUCUCUCGGACGGGCACGACAACUGCGGCGGCACAAGCGUCAGGCCCGACGGCACCAAGAGCUACGUCAACCUCGUGCCGCCCUCGCUCACGGUCGCCGCCGGCAGCAGCCGGCCCGCCGCGCCGAUCCACACGUUCGGCUUCGGCACCAGCCACGACGCUGGCGCGAUGCACGCCGUCGCGGAGGCCACGGGCGGCACCUUCUCGUUCGUCGGGGACGAGGCGGCGAUCCAGGACUCGUUCGCGCGCUGCGUCGGCGGGCUCCUCUCGGUGGCCGUGCAGGAGGCGCGCGUCGCCGUGACGUGCCUGCACCGUGGCGUCCAUGUCCAGCAAGUCAAGUCCGGCGCCUACGUCAGCCACGUGGGCGCCGACGGCCACGCCGCCACCAUCGACGUCGGCGAGCUCUACGACGGCGAGGAGAGGCGGUUCCUGGUGCUCGUGCACGUGCCGAGAGCCCGGUCGACGGAGGAGGUGACCCGCCUCAUCAAGGCGAGCUGCACGUACCGAGAGGCCGCGACGGGGCAGGCGGCGCGCAAGGUCGCGGCGCCCGCCGCCGUGGUGCAGAGGCCGCUGGAGCUAGCGACGCUGCCUGCCCCGUCCUUGGACGUGGAGCGGGAGCGCGUCCGCCUCGCGGCGGCGGAGGACAUCGCGGCGGCGCGGACGGCCGCGGACGGCGGGCAGAACGCCGGCGCCGCGCGGAUCCUCGAGUCCCGGCUCAAGGCCGUGGAGCAGUCGGCGCCGGGGGCCGCCGGCAACGACCCGACGUGCGAGGCGAUCAAGGAGGAGCUGCGCGACCUCAGCGCCCGCGUGGGCGACCGGGCGGAGUACCAGCAGACGGGGCGCGCGUGCCUGCUCGCCGGCAUGAGCUCGCACGCGCAGCAGCGCGCGUCGGGGAUGGACGUCGUGCCGCAGUCGACGUCGGCGAGCAAGGGUGGUGGUAGCGCGUACCUGACUCCCAAGAUGGAGGAGAUGGUGGAGAUGUCGCGUGAGAGCAGCAGGAAGCGUGGCGGCGGCGGCCAGCACCAGCAGCAGACAGUCGGCACGUCGGGGCAGGUCAAACAGGCCAAGAUAGAAGUCAUAGAAGAAGAAGGUACGAUUUCGUUCGAUUCUGAUGGAGCCAGGAGGCGCCAAGGUCGACUACCUCUGUAUGAUGAGUAGGCCCGCAUUUGAUAUGUUAUGUCCUGAAUUGAUUUGGCACUACUACUGAUACUGUUGCUAGCUAUAAACUUGGCAUGUCAUGUUAUCUUCUUAUAAUUAUUAGUAUCAAUCAAGAGAAGGGAGGUUGGUCAUGCAUGGACUCUGUUGUGCUCGUGCUCGUGUUGUUCAAGGUAAUGCAGUUUUUUCUUGUCAAACACUAACAGUUUACGCGCUCAGACAAGAUAUGCCUUAAUUUGCGGUUGCGUUUGGUAAAUGGAAUAUUAAUCUUGAGAUAGAUAUGACAAAGAAUGGCUAUGAUCGUAGAGAGACUUAAAAACUGAUGGCAUUAUAUUUGUUUGUCGGGCAAUGCUACGGUGCACUUUUUACUUGCAAAGAGGUAAUAUUUCAAAUAAAUCUGAACCUUUGAUUUUUUGAGUUUCUGAAUUAAUUUAUUGAUUAAUUAAGCUAGGAAAAUAAAAAAAAAAAAAACUUGUUGAAUCCCCUCUCAACACGUUGUCCUUUCUUUCUCUAUGCGACCAGAGGCUUGUCAUCUUCCAUGUCCGUGGAGUCGUGGUCCUUUCUUUUAUGUAUGCGAGAGAAAAGUUGGAGGCGGAGACGUGUGUUUUAAAUCUGAACAUGCACAAAUAUUUAUUCUAAUAAAAUAAUAGAUGAAGUAAGUGGAUAUUUGCUGUCUUUAAAAUUAAAUUUGUAUCCAAAUAUAAAUUUAAAUUCAAACUGUUCGGUUCAUAUUCACAUAUAGUACGUGUGACGCUUCCAGUGAAAUAUAAAUAAAUUAAUAUAUUUGAGCUUGCAGAGUAUUUGAGCUUAUAGGCUUUGCAUUCAUGUAUUUGCAAAAAAGUCUUAAAAACACCUAUCCAAUAGUUUGGCAUUUGGACUUUGCAAUUUUAUUAACUUGGCAAAAAAAGAGGAAGGAUUGGCAUAUAUACCAAGCUUGUUCACACUUGGCAUUGGAAAACUGGCGCGAAGUCCGUGCGCGGCUACAGGUUAAGGUCGCGCGAGUUUGGCGACAUUCCGCCGCCAGACUUUCCUGCGAACUGCCCAUUGGUCUUCCAUCAUCGCCAGGUACUCCAUCGAUGCCCUCCCAAUUAUUUGUGUUUUUGCCUAUCGGUCUUCCAUCAACGCCAGGUACUCCAUCGAUGUCUCGGAUCGUUUUUGCCGGCAAAGACUCCAGCCGCCAAACUCCGAGCGGCUAUGCACAAACGUCGCGACCUCAGCGCCUCGAUAGAAAUAAAUUUUCCGCGAACAUUCACCCGGCACGCGGAGAGGAAAAAAGCUCGACAAAAAAAUUGUGUGGGUCCACAAUUUUCUUUUUUGCCAAGUGAUUAAUGCCAAACCAUUGGAGAUUGCCUCUUUUUACCUUUGCCAUAUUUUUUGAGACUUGGCAAACUCCCUCAUUUACCAAAACCAAUUAUGCAAAACGGUUGGGGAUGCUCACGGGUGUAUCAAUCAAACCUUAAAGAAAGAUUUUCUAUACCUCAAACUUCUCUUAUUUAUCAUAAUUUACAAAAUAAAAAUUAAAUAAAUAUAUAUUUUAUCUAGGAAACGUAUUUAGUGAAAACCACAAACUUCAUAAAAACUUGUGCAAACCACGACAAAAAAGUAAAUUAUGAUGAUACACCAAAAAAAUUCUUGUCCAAACUCGAAUUCAUUUGUGAGAUAUAAAAAUAACAUUUUUCUAACAAAUCCCGUGGACAGCUUUUUGGCUUGAAAUUUAUUAUUUUUAUAUCUCACAAACAAAUUUGAGUUUAGACAAGAUAUUUUACAAUGUUGUGUAUCAUCAUAUCAUAUACAUGUGUGAUUUUUUUGGUAAAUUUAGACGACUUUUUUUGUCGUAGUUUGCACAGGUUUUCAUAAAGGUUGUGGUUUCCACCAGAUAUGUUCCCUUUCAUCUGCACAGUAUUACCUUCUUGUAGGUAAUAUGUGAUCAUUACCGUUCGAUCAAAAUAAAUAAAUGGUUCACAAUUACUUGGGAGUAUCGUAGCAAAGCUCUUGUUUGUCAUAUUGAUCAGUCGGCAAUUAUCUGAUCCUAAGGUCGAACCUGUGAACGGAAUUUGGUUUGCAUUGUAAUUUCGUAACUCGUAAGCCCAUGCCAUCACUCAACUCGUUUGUUAGCUCACCCAGUCUGAUCAACAGAAGCUACGCUCGUUCCUCAGAACAGUAACGGAUGAUCCGAUCCGCAUGCAUGUGGAGUCAGCUGUUGGAUGAAGCUAAGGCCCUGUUUAGUUUUCUACCCAAAAUUUUUUCAUCCAUCCCAUCGAAUCUUUGGACACAUGCAUGGAACAUUAAAUGUAGAUAAAAAAAUAAACUAAUUACACAGUUUAGUUAAGAAUCGCGAGACGAAUCUUUUAAGCCUAGUUACUCCAUGAUUAGCCUUAAGUGCUACAGUAACCCAUAUAUGCUAAUGACAGAUUAAUUAUGCUUAAUAAAUUUGUCUUGCAGUUUCCUGACGAGCUAUGUAAUUUGUUUUUUUAUUAGUUUCUAAAAACCUCUCCCGACAUCCUUCCGACACAUCCGAUGUGACACCCAAAAAAUUUUCGUUCCCAAUCUAAACAGGCCCUAACAAAAACACGCUAAGUCAGCUGUUGGAUGAAGCUAAUCCUUGAACCAUGCUGAUAGAGUAAUGCUUGAUAUAAUAGGUCGAUAUGAUCAUAACAUGUCACAGGAGACAGUAAUUGUUCUCAAUAUGCAAACAUAAAUAGGCCAUUGUUCUUGAUAAGGUAGCACGUGCACCAAAAAGUUGAUAAGUAGCACGGGCACAAAAAAAAACUGAAUGCAAACCCAAAAGGCUUGUUCAACAACGUGUCAAUGUUAGCUAAUUAUUUGUAAGUAGUUCAUGAAUGAGCUAUAUAAACCACGUUAAUUGAUGGAUUUAUAAACUUUGCCAAGCAUGUUUUGUGCUUGCAAUCGGUAUCUCGGCACGUGCCACCACUAUUUUUUCAGAAGAUUAUUUGAUUUCGCACCAUACAUUUUAAGAUGUUAGCUUCAUGUAGAUGAUACAAGAAAAAUAUAAACACACAUAAUUUUUUUCUCAGACUGCAUAUCGGCAUCUCAGUCUCCAAUGACCUAGGUACAUACAAAUCUACAAUGAAUCAUCCUCUUGACGAGUGAAUAGUCAACAACAUACAAAGAGAUGAAUCAAAAGCAAAAGAAAAAUUGUGAACCCAUCUAAACGACCAAAAGCCAGUGAAAAGGCAAUCAAAGUCAUUUGAAAUGAGCAAACUUGGUCCCUAAAGACAUGGGUAACGACUCGAUGCAACCGAGAAGAAGCAAAACUUGGUUCCUAAAGGCAUAGGUGGAUGCUCGACUUGACACAACCAAGCGAGACAAUUAGUUGUCAAUAAGACGUAGAAAUAAAUCAACACCACUAGCAGAAGACCAAAAGCAUCUCAAAAACCUCUAGAAACAGUACUAGUCCCUCUAGAAAAGGCAGAGGCUCAAGAUAACUAGCAAAAGCAGCCUCAAAAGCCAAAAUCAUUCUCAAAUGCAACUCUGAAAGGUCCUAAUAUGGCUAGAGGGGGUGAAUAGCCUAUUUAAAAAAAUCUACAAACUCACUAGAGCAAGAGGUUAGUAAAUAACAAAGCGAAGCUUUUUAUUCUAGCUCUAAUGGGGUGUUUGGAAGCCACCUAUUCAACAAUUCUAGUUGAUAUGAUCACUAGGCACACAAAAGCUAUGUCACUACAAGCUACACUAGUGAGCUAUACUCAAAAGGCAAAGUAAGUAACUAAACUAAUUACACUACUUUGGGUAAAUAAAGGAUAGCAUGAGAUAUUUAUACCGCCGUGUAGAGGGGAUGAACCAAUCACAAUAAUAUAAAGUCCAAUCACUGGGAGAAAUCCAAUGAACAAUCACAAUCGAGACACACAAUUUUCUCCCGAGGUUCACGUGCUUGCCGGCACGCUACGUCCCCAUUGUGUCGACCAAUACUUGGUGAUUCGGCGGCUAAGAGGUGUAGCAUGAACCUUGUCCUCACUAAGACACCGCAAGAACCAACCCACAAGUGAGGUAACUCAAUGACACGAGCAAUCCACUAGAGUUACCUUUCGGCUCUCCGCCGGGAAGGUACAAGACCCCUCACAAUCACUGGGAGAUGGUCACGAACAAUCACCAACCGUCUAGGUGGUGGCAAUCACCAAGAGUAACAAGAAAACCGCCACUAGAACGAUCCCCAAGUGCCACUAGAUGCAAGCACUCAAGCAAAUGCACUUGGAAUCACUCUCAAUCUCACAAAGAUGUUUAAUCUAUGAAGGAGAUGAGUGGGAGGUGUUUGCUUAGGCUCACAAGGAUGUCAAGUAUGCUAGAAUGCCAAGAGAGUGAGCCCCAAGCCGGCCAUAACUAUUUAUAAGUCCCUCAAACAAAUAGAGUCGUUGGCUCCUUCACUGGGCAAAAGUCGGGGCCACCAGACGCAUAACCAGUGACCACCGGACGCUCAACUGUGCGUCUGGUGCUUGGAAUAGAGCCACGUGUCAACUUUUUGAACCAGGCGCGUUGAUCUCUAACGGUCAAAACUGAAUCACCGGACGCGCUCAAGUUAGCACCAGACGCGUCCGGUGCCUACCGAUCUCGUACGCAGAGAGGUCUGCAAACACACGGGGUCACCAGACCCACACCACCGGACGCGCUCCUAAGCGUCCGGUCCCUUAUCCAGAGAGCACUGCAAACGCUCAGGAGCGUCUGGUGCUCUCAGUCAGAGACAUUCGUAGAAGACAGGCAGCACCAGACGCAUGAACAAGAGUUACCCUGUGUCCGGUGCUCAGCGUCCGGUGCUUAAUCCUAAUGGAGCCAAGCACGACAGCACACCGGACGCACAGGCUUAGCGUCCGGUGCCUCUGCGGCCAACGUCCGGUGAGUGUUUCUCCCGCGACUUCUCCAAACUUCCCACCGGUGUAAUAGAAAAUAUGCAUUUUAUUUUUUCAAAAAGCUCCGAAUCCCGUCUCGCAAGCUCGGUGGAAGGGAGAGAGGAACCCAAACCCCUCUCUACCCUUCAACCUCCACUUCCUUCUCAAAGUAUGCUAACACCACCAAGUGUACACCAUAAUGUGUAAGUGUGUUAGCAUUUUCACAAUCAUUUUCUUCGAAGAAGGUAAGUUAACUCACUAGGUUCUAAAUGCAUGCACAUGAACAAUGACACAUAGUGGCACUUGAUAACCGCUUAGCCAAAGAAUUCCCCUCUUUAUAGUACGACUAUCUAUCCUAAAUGUGAUCACACCCUCUAUGGUGUCUUGAUCACCAAAACCAAAACUCUAAGCAAUACCUUUGCCUUGAUCUCCAUAGGGUUUUGUUUUUCUUUUUCUUCUUUUCCAAGUUGAGCACUUGAUCAUCUUGUGGUCAUCACCGUUAUCACCAUGACCAUCUCUUGCUCCAUCACUUGGCAUGUACCAACAUCAUUAAGUCUACACACACUUAGUAUAGAGGUUAGUACUAGGAUUUCAUCAAUUAUCCAAAACCAAACUAGGGCUUUUGAACUCCCCCCGAACAAGUGCACUCCCCCACAUGAAUGCACACUCUCUGCAUAUGACAACUCUAUGUGUAACCAUUAUCCCCUUUCUUGGCACAUGGAUACAUCAAGCUAAACAAAACUUCAAGUCUCCCUCAAAAUAUUCUUUGAAAGGCGCUAGGAUGUAGACGAGAGAGAUAUAGGAGUAGGUCAUCAAGAAUGAGAAGAUACUCAAAGUGAUACUACCACUUGAGUAUAACAAUAAAUCCAUAUGCUAGCAAAUGCUCAAAACGAUCACAUGGCACAAACCAUGACUAGCAAAGCAUUUUGAGCAAAAUUUAGGCUUCAAAAAAGGUUCACCACUAAAAUAGAACCAAGAAUGUAUAGAGCAAGACUAACAACAAGUGUUAAACAUGAUCAAACAAGGUGAUGUAGCCUUAUACAAAGAUCACUGCAAACACCCACAUAUUAAUCCAAGCCUUUUUUUAUUCUUAAUUCAACUUCUUACAACCAAGUGUUUACUUCUCUUUGGCAAACACAUGAAGCAAGUAAGUGAUCAUAUUGGAUAUAACGCAAAGCAACAAAUUCUUAACAAUUCUUGGAUUUUUUUAGAUUUGUCAUUAGAACUUGUUAGAUCAUAAGUUCACCAGAUCUUCAUCAAUUUCAUGCACAAGUUGUUUCUUUGCGACAAAAAAGAACUUAUGUUCUCCUGAGGGUUAAUCAUGGGCUAAACAUUUGCAAUGACAUUUGGAUAAGCUCUAGCACACCUAGCAUAAGCAUGCCAACAUAAGUGCUCAAACAAGCCGACAGAGGCCAACCCCAUGCAUGACUCUCACCAAAAUUAACCACCUCAUUGAUUAUUCUAGAUAGAAUAAUGCUGAAAUAACUUUCUACCUUCAAAUCUCAUCACCCUUGUACAACAUACUACCAAAUCUAGUGAUAGUAGAUUAGGCUAGUUGUCGGUGGUUGAUUCUAUAGACGACACUAUAUUAACUUAGGUACUUCCAAAAAAUACCAUGACCAUUUUAUAAAUACUAGAACUCAUGUGGAGUAAAAUGCAUCAUGGGUCCUUUUGUUGGCUUCAAACUUCAUCCACAGCUCAGGACCCUUGAGAAAGGUUCCCCCAUCUCACAUGUAGAAAACAUAUUGAAAAUUCAUUUAGCACAGGAUAAGAGAGACUUGGCGUGUGGCUCAACUCUUAUGUGAGUGUAAGGUGCAAGAAAAUAAACAUAAUAUUCAUGCCUGGUAUGUCUUUCUUGGACAUAGUUAUGAUUAAGUAUAACAUACUACUAUAAGUAUCUAGGGCCCAUGUAGUGGAUACUCAUACUCCCUCCGUCUUGUAGUAUAAUGUAUUAUAGCAUUCAAAAUUUCUCUUCAAAUAUAGUGUAUUUUGGAGGACAAAACUCAGUUUUGCAUUAAAUAUUUUUUAUUUAUCAACCAAUUAUCAUUAAUCAUGUAAAAUGAGGGUACAUGUGUCUUUUAUAUCCUCUCUUAACUUAUCUUAAAAUUCCUAGAAUGCAAUAUAUUAUAGGACAGAGAGAGUAUAUAACAUGGAGGUAGCACAAAACAAUAGAAAAGACAAGAAUCUUUUAAGGCAAAAAACACAUUUGGAUCAAAACUUUAUUACACUAGCUUGAAGUUUUUGUUAAGAUGUCGACCCGGUUUUUAAUUGAUUAAAGUCAUAUCCUUAGUAGCCCCAUCACGAGAAUAAAAAAGUUCUCACCAAAUGUCUGAUGCUAUUUCAUCGCAAAGUCGAAGAACACAUACCCAACAUAGGAUCGUUGGCUCUUAGAUUAUUUUGUAUCAAUGUGUUUUGUAAUUUCCGAUAUUGUCAUAUCUUAGACCUAGAGAUGACAAAACAAAUCAUGAAAAAUUAAUCAGCUCAUUGAUUAUUUUUGACAGAAUAACGUCGAAAUAACUUUCUACCUUCAAAUCUCAUCACCCUUAUACAACAUACUACCAAAUCUACCGAUAGCAAAUUAGGCUAGUUGUUGGUGGUUGAUUUCAUAUAUGAUACUAUAUUAAUUUAGGUACUUCCAAAAAUACCAUGUUGGCUCCAAACUUCAUCCACAACCCUCGAGAAAGGUUUCUCAAGUAGAAAUCACAUUGGAAAUUUCAUUUAGCAUAAGAUGAGAGAAACUUGGUGUGUGGCUCAAGCAUAAGAUUCAUGCUUAGUAUGACUUUCUUGGACAUAGGUAUGAUUAAGUAUAACAUAUUGCUAUAGGUACCUAGGGCCCAUGUAUCGAAUACUCAUAUAUAUCACGGAGGUAGCAUAAAAAAGAAAAAAAACAAGGACUUUUUUAAUGCAAAAAACAUAUUCGGAACAAAACUUUAUUACAAUCGCUUGAAGAUUUUGUUAAGACGUUGGCCCUAUUUGCAAUUGAUUAAAAUUGAAUUCUGAGUAGCCCCAUAACGAAAAUUGAAAAAAAAAAAUCUCGUCAAUGCCAGAUGCUAUUACAUCACACAGUGGAAGAAUGCGUAUCCAAACAGGUCCUGGCUCUAUGAUUAUCUAGAGUUGGGGUACCUUGCAAUUUCCAAUAUUGUCGUAUCUUAAGGCUAGAAACUACCAAAUUAAAUAAAAAAAAAAUUAACCACCUCAUUGAUUAUUUAAGAUAAAAUAACGCCGAAAUAACUUCCUACCUUCAAAUCUCAUCACUCUUCUACAAUUUACUACCAAAUCACCCGAUAGCAUGUUAGGCUAAUUGUCGGGUAGUUAAUUUUACAGAUGAUGAUACCAUAUUAACUUAGGUACUUUCCAAAAAUACCAAGAUCAUUCUAGAUAGCAACACUAAAAAAACUCACGCUGAGUAAAAUGCACUAUCGGUUCACUCCAAACUUCAUCCACAACUCGAGUCUCGAGAAAAAGUUCCUCAAUCUCACAUGAAGAAAACAUGCUAGAAAUUUGAUUUUUUUUUAAUUUAGCAACAUGAAGAGACAAACCAAACCAAACCAGGGACUCACCUGCAAAUACGGCGGGAACCAGUGGUGCAAUCUGGAAAACCGUUGGCCGGUAUUGGUAAAGGCCCCGAUAAAUGUCACCUCCCCUCCUCCUGGAGAGGGAUAGACUGCGUCCCGUCUUCGUUCCUUCCGCCCCCCCCUUCCCCUCCUCAUAAGGGGCGAGGCCGCGGCCGCGGAGGAGGCUUUACGAACAAACGAGCCAUAGUCCCCAAAAGCCAACACACACACACAAACCCAGGCAGGCGAUAGCGAGCGCGCCCUCGCCCGCGCCCGCGCCCGCGCCAAGGCCACGACGCGAGGUGUGGAGCCCCCAAUCCCGGAAGCUUCCGGGGCCGCGCGCAGGGGGAGGGGGGAGCUCACCGCCGGUGACCGAGCCCUCGCCGCCGGCGGAUCUCCCGAUCUGAGGGCGCCGCUAUUCAAUUCCCCGCAGGUACGCGCCCUGAUCCGCGGCCGCUUUCGAUCCGGCCCGGUUCCCCCGCGCCAAUUCGCGCCCUUCCUCCCAUUGCUGCUGCUGCUGCCGCCUGAUUCCGACCUUGGCUGCCUCUGUGAUUAGGGUUUUGCGGCGCCGGCGACGGAGAUGAGCGUGGAGAGCCCCGGGGAGCUAGGGUUCUGAAGCGCACCGUGGGGCACAGCGUGGCGGACGACGGCGGGCCCCGGCAGCCUCCUAGGUUUUCCAUGGGAGAUGGGGGAGUCGCGUGCGCCGUCCGCGCAGUCGAGGGCUUCCGUGCCGGCGCCCUCGUGAGGAGAGGAGGAGCGGGAGAAGCGAUGCCGGACAAGGGGGAGAGGGCUCAGGCUCAUGGCCACCACCACCACCACCGGAAGAACCAGCAGUCGACGACAGCUGCUGACCUGGAGGAGGGUGAGCUGCUCAAUGGGGAGGCCGACACCAAUGGGUUGCCUGAGAGGAGCAUGCCACCUAAGAAGUGGAGGAAGGUCCUGGCAGCCUCUGCAGCAGCUGCUGCCGAGGUGGAGCCUGGGGAGAUCGUGAGUACGAAGCAAGCAGUGCCAUUGAAGAAGGCAAGGAGGAACGGGGAUGUUGAGAAGGUAGAGCUGCUGCCGGAGAGGCAGAGGAAGGAGAAGUCUUCUGGGAAGAGCACCAGGAAGCCUAUCAAGGAUGAAGUGGAGCCAGGGGAGAUUGCACCGUCUGAAAAAAGGCGGGAUGCUAAGUCCCAGCAGGCUGAUGAUAAUGGCAGGAGGCCAGGUUCAUCUGCCCAGAAAGGCUCCUUGCGGGAUUCUGAUGAAGAGCCUGGUGAAAUUAAGCCAGAGAGCAGCAUCAGUGGCAGUGCAAGGAAGAACCGGCCAACGGAGCCUCAGAGCAUUAACCACAAGCACCACGCUGACACCUCUGAUCAGUCAGGAUCAAAAAGUCGCAGGAAGGGAGAAGGGAAGAGUUUAUCUGCCUCCAGACAUUUGUCUGGGAGAAAUCGUGAGGUCUCGCCACCGACACGGGAUCGGCGUGAUAGGCACGAGAGGAGCCCAGGCAUCUUGGGCCGUUUUCCUCAUGAUCGCUUUCGUCAUGACAGGUAUGACAGGAGCCCGAGCCGCUUGGAGCGUUCCCCGCACCGGGAGCGUGGUCGCCAGUACGAUAGCAGGGACCGCAGUCCAUUUAUUUCACCUCGACAUAGACCUCGUCAUCCCCAUUUGAGGGAUAACACACCAAGUCGUGUUGAGAAUUCCCCUCGUGGGAGGGUCCAGCAUGAGGAUGUCAGAGACCGUAGCCCAUUUCGUCAUGACAAAUCGCCUUCUGAACGUUGUCGGCCUACUGACACUCACGAAGCAAGCAAGAAGAGCAGAAGUGGCAGCAGCUCAGAAAAGUCACAGCACAAAAGCAAAUCAGCAAAGCAAUCUUCAAAGACCAAGAGUGGUAGCAAUGGGAAGAAUGAGGAGAAAAUCUCCAAAGAAAAGCCCACUGAAAGCAGUCAGUACACUGAACUGCCACCACCACCUCCACUACCACCGCCACCACCUCCGCCUCCGCCACCUCCGCCUCUGCCACCUGCGGUGCCGCCUCCCCUGCCUCCAUCACCAGAUCCUGAGCCUACUGGAGUUCUAGCUGAAGAUAUGAUAGAAGACAUGGAUAUCUGUGACACUCCACCUCACACUAGUGGAGCACCUGAACCCACCGAACCAAUUUGUGAUAUAGGGAGGUGGUUUUACCUUGAUCACUUUGGUAUCGAGCAAGGACCUUCCAAGCUUGCUGAGUUGAAGAAGCUGGUGGAAGAUGGAUAUCUUCUUUCUGAUCAUCUGAUAAAACAUGCUGAUAGCAACCGAUGGGUGACCGUAGAGAAUGCAGCUUCACCACUGGUGCCAUCUGAUUUCCCCUCUUUAUAUUCGGACACAUCAACACAGAUGGUUAACCCACCAGAAGCCCCAGGAAAUUUGCUCGAUGAAGCUCUAGAGGAAGCUUCUAACUUGGCAUCAGGUGCUGAGGAUAAACAAAUGGAUGAAGCUUCUGCAGAAGAUAGUGAGGAAUUCUACAUUGAUGAUAGGGUUGAAGCACUGAUGGAUGGAUCGAUUUUGGUCCAUGGCCAGGAGCUGGAGAUCAUUGGAGGUAAAACUAUUUCACUUUGCUAUAUUUGAAGUUCCACGUUUUUGCUGUGGGCUGGGCUGGACUUGGGUUCUCCCUUUUUUUUUUUGGUUAUAUCCUUUUGGAGUUGGCUGCGAAGCCCUUGGCUUUGGUUUCUUGUGGGUGUGGAGGCAAUAAACACGCAUCCCAUCAUGACUGCAGUUUGCACCUGAGAGCCGAUGAGGUGUUAUAUGGUGUCUAUUUGCUUGGGUUUGGGCCGUUUGGGCCCAUAAGCUUUGCAUUAUUAUUGGUCUUGUUUGGAUACAGUUUUCUGUUGCAAAAAAUCUAAUGGCCCUGACCUUGGUUUUUAUAGGAAUUUUUGUUGUUUCAACUGUUUUGCAUCUGCACCCCCGGGAACAUUUUUUUGAUCUGACUACCAUAAAAAGUCGCAGUUUUUUACAUAUAUAUCCUUCUAAAGCUCUGUAUUUGAUUUUUUGUGUAAUUGUAUCAGAUCUAUUCAUACCAUGUUUGAAUGUAGAUCUCUAAUCUGCCUUGUAAAAUCAGGAUUGUUGGUGUCAGGUUUAAUUGGGCAAUUAAUACUUUAUCUCUAUUUUUUUUGGGGGGGGGGGGGUUGGGGGGGGGGGGGUAAAUGCAAAUACAGAACUUCCCAGGUCAUGUUAAAGAUCUGCUAUUUUUUUCUUUUAUUUGUUUUGAAUAAAUUGCACUGUACCUUUGUGAACUUGCACUGUACUUCAUCCUGCAUUUUACUUUCCCAGCAGCCUGAAGGCCUGAACUUGCACAAAUUUAUGGUGUUAAACCUCAUGGCUGGACUAAUGUUGUAGUAUUUUGCCAUUUGGAAAUUGCAGAGCUUUUAGGCGCAGAUUUUCAGCCUGCUGAUUGGCAAAGUUGGAGUCACCCUGAAGGUAUUGUACCAGUUCAAAAUUUAUUUGGCCUUAGGAUUUGCACUGUUCCUUGUCCAAUUUUUGGGAAUGGCUAUAUGUUUUCUUCGUUUUAUAGAUGGUAUCCAACUUUAAGAUGCUGACUCUGUAUUCUGCUUUUCGUAUUUUAUCAUCUGCUUUUGAGCCUACAAUUCUUCAGAAAAACAUAUUUAAAAUUGUUUCAUCAAAAACUACAGAAGUUCUUCUCUUCUUGUAGUUUUUUUCAUGAUGCCACCAUAUAAUUCUUUGGUUGCCUUUGUUCUGUUAUCCCCGGAAUUUGUGAUUUACAUAUUAUUAUUAUGUCAGAUUUUACUAGGUUCCAUGUGCACACUGAAGGAGAUGAUGGAAUCAAUGGAGGCACGGAAUUCUUAGAAAACAGAGCAACAGAUGCUUAUGGCCUUGUUUCUGUGGAGAAGAACAACUUUCAUCAUUAUGUUGAGUCUAGCGAAUGGUUUUCUGGGAGAUGGUCUUGCAAAGGUGGUGACUGGAUGAGAAAUGACGAAUUGAGCCAAGAUACUCCAUUCAGAAAAAAACUUGUUCUCAAUGAAGGGUAUCCUCUGUGUCAAAUGCCAAAAGGUAGCUAUGAGGAUCCACGCAGGCCCUGCAAGGAUGAGUUGUACUACCCUGUACGUGCUAAAAAGCAUGACCUGCCAUUGUGGGCAUUCUCAUCGACCGAAGAAGAUACUGAUAGUGUUAAUGACACCACUAAAAGUGGUGUUGUACCCGGGAGGCCAGGUCAGACCAGACAGCCUCCUAGGGGAGUGAAGGGCAUGAUGCUUCCAGUGGUUAGGAUAAAUUCUCGUGUUGUCAAAGACCAAUCAUCUGUUGAACCCCGUACAAAACCUAGAGGAACUGAUCGACCACUGUCGAGAUCUUCACGCUCCCAUUCAAUUGGGGCCGAGAGAAGUUCUGUCCAUGAAGGUUCAACGCACAGGAAGCACCAUGACCAUGAUUCACAAAGUUUGCACAAGUCCAAGUCUGUUCCAAACAUUCCAAAGGACCGUGUAUGCACUGUUGAUGAGCUAUCAGUUAAUCGGGGUGACUGGUACUACCUUGAUGGCACUGGGCAUGAGCAUGGUCCAUUUUCUUAUUCCGAAUUGCAAGAAUUAGUUAAAAAGGGCACUAUCAUUGAACAAAGUAGUGUGUUCCGUAAGAUUGAUAACACAUGGUUUCCAGUUCUGAAGGAUUUAAAACCUGGAAGCUCUGUUCCCAGUGCAGCAAGAAGCUCAAAUUCUACUGCUGCUCUUAUGCACCCAGACCAAUAUAAUUUUGGUGUGAACCAAGGAUCAGGUAGCUUCCAUGAGUUGCACCCCCAAUUUGUGGGUUAUACACGUGGUAAAUUACAUGAACUAGUCAUGAAAUAUUUCAAGAGCAGGGAACUUACUUUAGCUAUAAAUGAGGUCUUGGACCCAUGGAUUUCAGCAAAACAACCAAAAAAAGAGUUUGAAGCAUACUUUUCUCACAAUUCAGCAUCUAGGAAUUUCCUGCCAGGUACUGUGGUCAUGCCUUACACGACAUCUUACUUACUUUCAGCUCUUAAAUUUUAACUUUCAGCUAAUCUUAAUGCAUUUGAAAUCUUGAACUGUCAAAUUUGUUUCACUCUCACAUAUUCCUUCUUGCUAAAUACUGAACGAAAUUUGUGGACAUGUGUAACAUUUCCUUUUCUUUUGUGAGCCUUACAGAAGAUGGUGGGUCUGCAAAAAGGGCCAAGUUGCUACCUGAUCAGAGUGAUGAAGAUAUUCAUUUGUCAGAAGACAUUCUUGCCAGUCGGAAGGAGGACAUCUGUUUUGAAGAGUUAUGUGAUGGAGCAUCAUCUUCUGUUGAUAAUGAUUCUGUGAAUCCCAGAGCAGGAAAUGAAAGCUGGGGUUUACUAAACGGCCAUGUGUUAGCAAGAAUCUUCCAUUUUAUGAGGGCAGAUGUGAAAUCACUUAUUUCUUCUGCAGCUACCUGUAGGAGCUGGAAUGCUGCCGCGAAGUAUUACAGGAACAUGUGUAGAUUCAUUGAUCUGUCUUCUGUUGGCCCUCUUUGCACUGAUUCUGUGUUUUGUGAUAUUAUGGUAUGUGUCUUGCCUAUCUGUUUGAACUCUUGAGAAAUUACUUCUGUCAUCUCCUAACUCUGGACUCACAAUCAUUCAUCUUCCUUUCAGGCUGGUUAUGAGAAGCAAAAUAUUAGGACUCUUAUUUUAGCUGGUUGUUCGAAUCUUAGUUCACAUGCCCUUGGCAGAGUACUUGAGCAGCUUCCACAAAUAUCUUAUGUUCACAUUCAAGGUUGCGGUCAUCUAGGGGAUCUGAAAAGUAAAUUUCAGCAUGUAAAAUGGAUCAGGAGCUCAUUGAAUCCAGAGGAGUCAUAUCAGAAAAUGAAAACCUUGAAGCAGAUAGGUGAUGGGAACAACUACACAUCCAAAGUUGCAAGGAACUUCACCAGUCAGCUGGAUGGUUCUGAUGAGCUUGAUGGUUAUUUUGCUGAUAUUUCAAAUAGAGAGAAUGCUAACCUUUCAUUUGGACAAGGUUUCUAUAAACGAUCAAAAUUGCUUGAUGCUAGAAAGUCCUCUGCGGUUUUGUCAAGGGAUGCAGAAAUGAGGCGUUUGAUGCAGAGACAGGCAGAGAACAGUUAUAGGAAGAUGGAAGAGUUUGUCAUAAACAGACUGAGAGAAAUUAUGAGGAGUAACAGAUUUGAUUUUUUCAUUCCAAAGGUACCAUCACUAUUUGGUAAUUAUUUGGAUGAGUCCUCUUGAUGAUCUAAUACGGUGUACUAAUACUUCACACCCAUGUCUGUUCCAUUUUACAGGUUGCCAAGAUCGAAGGUAGGUUGAAAAAUGGGUAUUAUGCUCGCCAUGGCUUUCGUACCAUCAAGCAUGACAUCCGUACCAUGUGCCAAGAUGCAUUGAGGUAAAAAUGACCUAGUCUAGCCUAGUUGAAGAUUUCUAGAAGUUUAUGUGAUUGUUGUAUUUCUAACAUUUCCUAUUCUACCUCAGAUAUAAAGAUGGCAAUGAUUCGGGAGAUAUAAAGCAAAUUGUUGUCUCCUUCAUACAGCUAGCAAAGAGACUAGGGAACCCAAGGCACAUUUCUGAGAGAAAUGGAGCAGCAGCCCAUGACAGUCUGGACAUUAGUCAAUAUUCAUUUGAUACUAAACUCAAAAAGAAGCAAAACAAAACAAGAGGAGCAAAUUUGGUGGCUGCUGGAGCAGAUAAUUCAUCUCGUGCAUUUGACCUUGAAAUCAAAAGGAGCCUGUCUAAAUUAAAGAAAAAGGAUGUCUACUCUGGUAGUGAAACAUCUGAUGAUGAUGAUGUCUACUCUGAAGGUGAUGAAACUGAGAGCGAAACUACCGUUUCUGAUACCGAGAGUGACCUUGAUGUAAAUUCUGGAGCCUGGGACUUAAAAGGAAACGGUCUAAAGUUAAUUGAACCUGGGGAAUCUGUGACCGAUGAUCGUAUAUUGGGUGCCCGCAUGACAAAGGCCAGCCUUGUUCCACCAGUUACUAGGAAGUAUGAAGUUAUUGAGGAGUACCUUAUUGUAGCAGAUGUGGAGGAAGUACAACGAAAAAUGAGAGUUGCUUUACCUGAUGACUAUUCUGAGAAGUUGCUGUCACAGAAGAAUGGCACUGAAAAUUUGGAGCUUCCAGAGGUUAAGGAUUAUCAACCCCGAAAAGUAGCAGGAGAUGAAAUUCUUGAGCAAGAAGUAUAUGGCAUAGAUCCAUACACACACAAUCUACUGAGUGACAUCAUGCCUGCUGAUCUUGAGUUGUCACCUACUGACAAGCAUAUCUUUAUCGAGGAGGUAAUUGGCGCUAGGUUACACACCCCUCUCUCUUUCUGUUCAAGCUUUGAACUUACCCAAAAUAUUUUCAAUGCAGUUGCUUCUGAAUACAUUGAAUAAGCAAGUUAAGCGUUUCACUGGUUCGGGAAAUACCCCUAUGACUUAUAACCUUAGGCCUGUCAUUGAAGAAAUCCAAAGGUCUGCGGAGGAUAAUGGUGACAGACGAACUUCAAAGAUGUGCUUGGGGAUGCUAAAGACCAUGAGAAAUCGAUCUGAUCAGAACUUUGUCGCUUAUAGAAAGGCAAGCCUUCAGCAACCUAUAUUAACUUAGGGUCAUUUCUUGUGUCUUUUUGACACGUUUGGUGCAUCUUUUCCAGGGUCUUGGUGUUGUUUGCAACAAAAAAGGUGGAUUUGGUGUAGAUGACUUUGUUGUCGAGUUCUUUGGGGAGGUAUGCCUUAGUUUUUAAUAUUCAUCCAUUCUUAUCGAGGGGCAGUAGUAUAGCCAUGAAUAUGUCGAUUUGUAAACAUUGCAGGUUUACCCUUCUUGGAGAUGGUAUGAAAAGCAAGAUGGUAUUAAACAUAUACAAAACAACAGCGAAGAUCAAGCUCCUGAGUUUUACAACAUUAUGUUAGAAAGGCCAAAGGUUGUGUUCAGUCUCUGGUUAAUGAGAUCUAACCUGUAACUGGUGUCAUUUCAAUUCAUGGUCUUUUUCAUCCUAUUAACCUUUUACUUCUGUCAUGAUGGAAGGGAGACCGAGAUGGAUAUGACUUGGUUUUUGUUGAUGCGAUGCACAAGGCCAACUAUGCGAGUAGAAUCUGCCACUCCUGCAACCCUAACUGCGAAGCAAAGUAAGCUCAUUUUGAGCUUCAGAUUUCUACCUUGUGAAUGUUAACUGUUCCAUUGCUUCUGUGGUUAUAUAAUAUUAUUCUUUGAUUAUUGGUCAGAAUUUAUAUGCAAAUGGGGUGUUUUUUAGAGGGAGUACCCCCCUCCCUCCUUUGGGUCUUAAUGAAAUGGCACACAGCUGUCCUGCAUUGUUCGAGAAAAAAAAAGAAUUUAUAUGCAUGAUGAUGCAAAAACUGGCAUGAAAGCUUAUGCAAGCUUGUCUGUUAACAAUUGCGAUAGAUGUAGCGCUCUGCUUUACUUCCAAAAUUUGCACUGGUCUGCUGUUACUCUAAUAAAUCCUUUUUUUCCUGGAAUUCUGCUGUGGGUUUAGAUUAUUAUGUACUCUUUCAAGAUACAUGACAUUCCAUAAAUAAUGUUUAUUAUAUUUUGCGGGUCUGGAAAUCAGUAUGACUGAGCAUUGAGCAAUAUAGUGUAGCUGUUCUCGCAUAUCCAAGCUUCAUUCUAUUUGUUGGAUCACAGUGCUAUUCUGAGUUGGGAUUUAUGUAUCAAGUUUCUUUGACAAACUUCAGUACGCAUUUGCUUGGUUAUUAUGCUUGUGCAUUUCUAUGCUAAUUAAAUUGAUACUCAACCAUUGAUAAUUUGAAUACAUGUAUGUGCUACAAUGUUUGCAUGGCUCAAAAUGCUUGGACUUUUUUCCUCUCUCCCUAAGGCUAAUGUCCACUAUUUAUGCUUCUUGAUUUUUUUUUUAAAUAGAGUGACAGCAGUGGAUGGUAAAUACCAGAUUGGAGUUUACACACUUCGACCAAUUGCAGAAGGCGAGGAAAUCACUUUUGAUUACAAUUCUGUAACUGAGGUGAGCACAUUUCUGGUUUCUUUAUGAAAUCAUGUAUUAUAUUGCAAUGUUUGAUGUCUAUAUACAUAUUUAUUUUGCUAGAGCAAAGAAGAACAUGAAGCAUCAGUCUGCCUCUGUGGAAGUCAAGUAUGCCGCGGCAGCUAUUUGAAUUUUUCUGGUGAAGGAGCCUUUGAGAAGGUGAACUUUUGGAAGUUUGCUGGUGGAUAGUUUGGAAGGGAUGCCUGUAGUGCCAAUAUUUAUUGAUUAUUUGCAUGAUUCUGACAUGCUCACAUCUACUUAUGUCGUUGUGAAUCAGGUAUUAAUGGAAUUCCAUGGUGUGCUCGAUAGGCAUAGCCUGCUGCUACAGGCUUGCGAAACAGACUCUGUCUCUCAACAAGACUUAAUUGACUUGGGUAGAGCUGGUCUUGGUACCUGUUUGCUUGCUGGUUUGCCUGGAUGGCUUGUUGCUUACACGGCUAACCUGGUAAUUGUAAUAGCUGUCUUUUGUUCAGUUUCUGUUCUGAUGUUGUAACCAUUUUAGAUUGGUCCUUAUAUCAACUUUUGUUGUAAAAGGUGCGGUUUAUAUACCUUGAGAGGCAGAAACUUCCUGAUGAGAUCUUAAGGCACAAUGUGGAUGAGAAGCGCCAGUUCCUUAUAGAAAUAAACAUGGACUCUGAGAAGAAUGAUGCUGAGGUUCAGGUAAAUUAGCUGAUGGCUUGGUCAGGCCUCCUAGUUCUCUGCCCCCUCCCUUCUUAUUUGGCUGAAUUUGACCUAAUUAUGUUGCCACGCUCAGGCAGAGGGAGUAUUAAAUUCAAGAUUACAGCAAAUAGUGCAUACACUUGACAAGGUGAAUAUUUAUUUGUGUUCAAUCUUGGGCUUGUUUGAUGAUACCUAGCUACCGUACAUAUUGUAUCAUUGCUUAUCCUUAUUGGCUUCUCUACUAACUCUUCAGGUGAGAUAUGUUAUGAGAUGCGUAUUUGGAGACCCAAAGAAUGCUCCUCCUCCUCUGGUAAGGUUGUCUGGGAAAAGUCUGGUAUCUGCCAUCUGGAAAGGGGACAGUUCGAUAGUUGCUGAACUCCUUCAGUCGAUGGAACCUCAUGUUGAAGAAGAGGUACUUAGUGAUCUGAAGGUCAAAAUCCGUGCUCAUGACCCGCCAGACUCUGAAGAUAUUGAGGGAGGCAUCCGGAAUUCUCUCUUGUGGUAAGUUUGGGACCUGAUCAGUAUUUUGCAAUGACUUCUCCCCUACAAUUACUUGUCUGUGGAAUCUGAUCCUCCUUUUGUACAGGUUGCGUGAUGAAUUGCGAACUCUUCCAUGCACUUACAAGUGCCGUCAUGAUGCUGCUGCAGAUUUGAUUCAUUUGUAUGCGUAUACAAAGUGCUUCUUCCGUGUCCGGGUAAGUGAAAGCUUAUUACUUACUGAGAAAAUGAUGGUUGUGGUAUUGCCAUCUGUUUUUUUUUAGAGCUCACUCAGGUAUGGCUGCGUGCAGGAUUACAAGACAGUAAAAUCCCCACCAGUUCAUAUCAGUCCGCUUGACUUAGGCCCCAAAUAUGCUGAUAAAUUGGGACCAGGCUUUCAGGAGUACUGCAAGACAUACCCAGAAAAUUAUUGCUUAGCCCAGCUUAUCUAUUGGUAUAGUCAGAAUUCAGAACCUGAAUCUAGAUUGACAAGAGCUAGAAAAGGUUGCAUGUCAUUGCCAGAUGUCUCGUCCUUCUAUGUGAAGUCUGCUAAGCCAUCGCAAGAGCGAGUUUAUGGAAACAGAACUGUGAGAUUCAUGUUAUCGCGCAUGGUAAGUGCUAUUUUGUGAGUGCUUGGGGUUACCAGAUUGCAAAAAUCAUGUGCUUAACUCAUUUUGGAAUGGGAGGUGGAGAAAGCAAAACUCCAAAAGAACUAAGUAAUGGCAGUUUAACUGUUUUGCACACUCAUUAUUUUGUUCUAGAAAAGUUGGAUCAUGAAACAAUUUGGUGCUGUAGACCCCAUAUACCAUAUAUCAGACAUCAUUACCUACUGCUACCAUUAUUUUUCUGAAUCAUUUUGUGCUACUUGUCAUAACUUUAUGCACAUGGAAUGCUUUUGCAUGGAUAAAAAAGUGAUGUUUAAUCGGUCUUAUUGUCCUUUAUCUUCUAGAAGAAAAUAUUAAGUUUUCUUGCCAGCUUUUUUUUCUCAAUUUCUUUCCCAAACUGUUUACUUAGUGUAACUUGGCAUAUUGUCAGUACUAUACGGAAGACAUUUAUGCCUAUUGACUGCUAAUAGAUCCUAUCUGUGAUGUAGCAUGCGUGCUUCUUUUACUUUAUAUCCCAGUGAUCACUGUCUUGCCUAUAAAAUGUUGGAAAUAUGAAGACUGGCAUCAUCUUACGAAUUGUUUUCCCUUGACUAUUUGGUUCCGGUACAUCUUAGUUAAUGAUGUUUUGGUGGUUGAUUACAGGAAAAACAGGCACAGAGACCAUGGCCAAAGGAUAGGAUAUGGGUGUUCAAGAGUGAUCCAAGAUUCUUUGGUAGUCCAAUGAUGGACGCCGUGUUGAAUAAUUCCCCGCUUGACAAGGAGAUGGUGCAUUGGCUCAAGACGAGACCAAACGUUUUCCUAGGCUAGUAAAAAAGGAUUGUAGGCAGAUAAGAUGGUUUUGGUUGUUUCUCCCUUUUGGAGAUUUUAGUCUACAGGAUUCUUUUUCCGACUCACACCUUGGCUACCUGAUCAUGGGGAGUUUAGCUUUUAGAUAGCAGGGUAACAGUCUCACCACCCCCCAUCUGUACAUUCUCCUCUCCCUACCUUCCUUGUAGAAAUGUAUCUGGUUAAUAACUGAUAGAUUCGUCAUUGAUUUAAUGUAGUGAAUUUUCCCCAUAGGAAUCCUCCCUCUCUUUUGUUUCAUGUAAAUGCAGAACAAUUUCAAUCUUGAAUUCAGUAAUGAGUUACAGGCAUGUUGCAUUUCUAUGGUUCAGUUGGGCUGUUUCAGUCAAUAAAAUGGUUUGCAUGAGAUUUGAUGGUUGAAACUGUACAUGAGUUGUGUUGCGAAUGUCAAUUUGAAUCAUGAUGCUAUAUUUUUGUUUUACACAGGUGGUGAUGGAAAUGGUUGAAAUUGUACAUGAGUUGUGUUGUACAUGUCAAUUUGAAGCAUGAUGUAUUUUUGUUUUACGCAGGUGGUAGGUGGUGAUGGGAUUUGCGCCCACUUUGUGUUGUGCAAGUGAAAUUGCAAACAGAAAGCUGCAAGGUGUAGAACAAAAUUGUAUGACCGGCCUUCUCAUUUGCUCUCAUGCGUAUUUUCUGUCUGUUGGCUAUUGCAAUUGAGAUUGUAUGAAACCGUAGCAAGCUUAGGCUGGGUCUGGUCAUGUUUGUCUUAUGUCAUCGGCAAUGUUUGUAACUUGCAUGAUCUGUGCUGUUUUCGUGUUGCAUGAUCUGUGCUGUUUUUGUGUUGCAUGAUCUGUGCUUUUUUUUUGUCUUUUUUUGCUGAUGUUUUUCUUUUGACAACUGUGUUGAUGGGUUGGUGUGUGUUUAUAAGGGCAUGUACAAUCCUGUCUAUAAAUUUUUUAAAUCCGUGCACAGACAGCUAAAUAGGUAACUCAUACAAUGAAUUGUCUAUUUCAUGCUUGCAUAUGGUCAUGAUCAAGUAUGAAUAUGAUCCUUGUACACCAGUGUGUUGCUAGUUGGUACAAAACAAAUCAAGCAUAAUAAUUAAGUUAAAUAUGAUUAUAAUAUUUUUAAACUACUAAUCUGGCAAUAUUCAAUGUGUAACAUAUGUUUUAUCACUUCUAAAAUAUAGUUUGAUCAAAAGGAAUCUAAAUAAAUUUGAAUUAUGGUUUUUGGAUUUGAUUUCAUUUUUAAAUUGAUAUUAUAAGGAUGAACCUAUUUGCACGUUCUUCAGAUAAGGAAAGACUCACGGUCAUAGCAUGCACACAGGAUCGAUGCUCGCAGGUCGGCUUCUCGGAGCACGGGCCGGAGGUGUCUACUCGUGAGACGACGGCCUUGCCUCGGCUGUUGCAUGUGAAGGGGCCUUUUGCAAAUAUUUUGUUAUGCAGAGGACUCACUGAACAGCGUUGUAUAUGCUCUAAGGAUUUUUCUUUUUCUUUUUAAUGCAAAGAAAUACAACUCUUCGCUAGUUCUGAAAAAACAAGAUUGUAUGCUGUUGUAUAAACUACUAUAUCCGUUUCAAAUUAUAGGUGGUUUUAAUUUUAGAUACAUAUUUUUUGUUAUAAGCUAACAUAUGUUAUGUCUAGAUAUAUUGUAAAAAUUAUAGAUCUCUCAAAAAGUCAAAACGAUUUACAUUUUAAAACAAAGAGACUAUAACACUUUUUUUUUGCUUGUGGGUAAUGUAUGCAUUCGGUUCCACGUGAGUCUUGCCUAGCCUAACCUCACGACAAGGCUCACCUUAGGCCUUGGUGAAAAUUUUUAGUUUUACUUAAUGUAGCACUUUUGUUUGUAUUUGAUAAUUAUUGUUUAACUAUGGACUAACUAGGUUUAAAAGAUUUGUCUCGAAAAUUACAGACGAAUUAUGCAAUUAGUUAUUUUUUAUUUAUAUUUAAUAUUCUAUACAUGUGCCGCAAGAUUUGAUGUGACGUGGAAUCUUGAAUCUAUUUGGAACUAAAUCAGGCCUUAUUAGAAGGCAAAAAGCUUGCCACUGUAUGUUAACAGCUUGCUUCAUAAACCGUUCUUCCGUCGGUCAUCUUACUAAGCAAGGUGAGACAAGGGGCUUAUCCAUGAACCAAACAUGUUUGAUGUGUCCAUGUGUUACAAUGUUUGCUGUAAUCUAGUGCUCAUGAAAUGAUUUUAUCCUUCUAUAUAAGUAUGUGUCUGAGAAGUUGGUUACUAGUAUUUAGUGCAAACUUGAACUAAAUCAUAAAAUUUAGGUUAAUUGUUCUAUGGACACUUUGAGUUGCCAUUCAUAUGGAAACAAUUGCAAAAAAUAUUAUAAUAAGACAGAGUUUUCCUAUAUUUACAAAAUAGUAGGGAUGUGAUUUGGGGUUUCGGAUUUCUAGGAGAGGUCUCUAUGCUCAGUGGCCUUAGAAGGAGUAGGGUUGUGCGGUGGUGGCAGUUUGAGGGGUCGCGGGUGAGGCAGUAGGGUGAAGAAAUCUUCAUCUUCUUCCUUCAGUCAUUAGAGAAGAGUGGGGAAGGAGUGGCGAAGAUGGGCAAUAGCAUCACUAGCGCCGCUGCCUAGCGGUGGGCGAGACUGACGAGGGUGGAUGGAGAUAGGGCCAUAGGUAAUGAGUGGGAGUAGAAGAUGAGCAUUGUUAUUGUUUUAAGCGGCGAUGUAAACUACGACCACUUGUAGCUUGAGAUUGACUUUAGUUAUAUAGAUUGGAUGAAUAUUCAAUGUCCUUUCAACUCAAGAAAUGUUUCUUUAGGAAAAAAAAAUAAAAAUCUCACUUUUCAAGAAGGCAACAAAUCCCAAAUCUAACUAGAUUUGUUAUUAAAAUAUGUUUUAUGAUUAGUCAAGUGCAUAUCAUAAUAUUAGUAAUUAUAUAGAUUUGAUGAAAUAAUUGCUUGGCUACUCGAGAAUUAAGUUUUUUUCUUUGGAAUGAUGGGAGUUUAUUUUUUGUUAAUAUUGGUUCUAAUUGUGGUUUUGGGUUAUGCAUUUUCUGUAGUAAAUAAUGUCUAUUAGCAAGAUGUUAAUGUUUGUAAGAAUUCUAAAAUCGUAAUAUAUAUAUUGACAGACAGAUCAAUCAUAUACCAACAAUGUUUACAAGUAAAGAUAGCUAUCGCGCUUACAUGACAAAGAAUGAUUAAUUUUUGGACAAAUUAGUAAAGAACUGUCGAAACUCUCAUUCGAGAUGGACUACCUAGAGGUAAGGACGUCGACAAGCUGUCUAGAAGCCGACGACGCCUUUUUGAUGAACAACAUCAUGAGAUAGAGGUUGGCUAAUAAGUCUAUGACACAAUCUUUGAUGAACAACAAUAUGUGAUAGGAAAAGUAGGACAAAAGAGAGAGAGAGAGUAAAUUAUUUUUUUUGUCUAUAGUAUGUUGGGUAUCUCGAUCAACCAAUUAACCAUGUAUCCGUAUUUUCUACGGGGCACAGGUAGUCUUAUUUAAAACUAAUAUGCGACAUCUCAAUCUGGUACCGGAACAUUCGGUUAUAGUGAUCGAAAGCUUUUUUUUUUUUAUAUUCCCAAGCCCUGCGUGAAUAUUAUCUGGGACGAUGGGGAUUUUUUUUUUUCACAGGAAAAAAAGAUGGGGAAAAUAGAUUUGCCCAAGGGAAUGGGCGCAGCGCGCACGCACCCGACGCCGCGACCGACCGGGCAAGGCUGACACUGCCAUUCGCCCCCCUGCUGCCUGCCACCGCCACUUCCUCGCGACGCCUCGCCAGUUGCCCAAGGCCUUGUUUAGUUCUGAAAAGUGAAAAGUUUUCGGCACUGUAGCACUUUCGUUUGUUUGUGAUAAAUAUUAUCCAAUCAUGAACUAACUAGCAUUAAAAGAUUCGUCUCG
This 82222-nucleotide long non-coding RNA is filed under the name Sorghum bicolor (sorghum). RNAcentral describes it as "long non-coding RNA (SBIC_LNC011692)". The record is from RNAcentral. Lineage: Eukaryota; Viridiplantae; Streptophyta; Magnoliopsida; Poales; Poaceae.